UUUUAAAAAGCUAUUUCUAGCUCAUUGCUGCCUGUGAUGAUUAUAUCAUCUACAUAAACAAUUAGAUAGAUAAUAUUUUCAUUUUUCUCUCUUAUAAAAAGGGACUAAUCUGAUUUGAUUUGUAUAAACCCUAUUUCUAAAAGUGUGUUUCUCAACUUUUCAAACCAAUUCCUAGAAGCAUGUUUAAGACCAUAUAAUGAUUUGUUGAGUUUGCACACUCUUUUAUCUACUUCUUGGAGAAGACCUUGGGGUGGUUUCAAGUAUACUUCCUCAUGGAGAUCACCAUGUAGGAAGGCAUUGUUGACAUCUAUUUGGUAUAGAUUCCACCUUUUCUAAGCUGCAAAAGCAAUCAAUAUUCUAACUGUUGUCAUUUUUGCAACAGGUGCAAAAGUUUCAUAGAAGUCAAAUCCUUCCUUUUGAGAGAAGCCUUUGCCUACUAGCCUUGCUUUAUAUCUCUCAAUUUCUCCAUCUGGUUUAUACUUAAUUUUGUAUAUCCACUUUGAUCCUACUGCUUUUCUUCCUUUGGAAAGUUCAGUCAAGAACCAAGUAUUGUUUGAUAUAAGAGCUUCCAUCUCUUUUUUCAUUGCAUCUAUCCAAUUGGGGUUAUUAGAUGCCUCACUGAAUGUUUUAGGUUCAGUGUUUUUAUUAAUUUGUUGGAGAAAAUGUUUAUGUUUGUUGUUUACUCUAUGGUAUGAAACAUAGUUGCUCAUAGGGUAUUUAGAUUUAUUUGGUGUAUCAUUCAUAUGAAAAUCAUCAAAAUGCUUAGGUUUGGUUAUUAUUCUGCCUAACCUUGUUUGCUUUAUAUCUUUGACUUGUAUAGUUUCUUGUUUAUCAUUUUCAAUGUUCUUAUCUUGAAAUGAUAUUUGACUUUGAUUUUUAUUUUCAUGAUUACUUUCAUGUUGUUUUGUUUGAUUUUGUGUAUGUUCAGUCUGAAUUAUGUUUUCUUCAGUAUUAUUCUGUAUUUCUGAGUCCACUACUGAAAUUUUCUCUGAACUUAUUAUUUUUGAUGUUAUAUCAGGUUGGUUAUUGCCAAUUUCAUCUGAUAUAACCUGUUCUUUUGAUGUAGUUUUAGUCUGGCCAGACUUAUCAUUUUCAGUUAUUCCUGGCCUGUCUAGAACUACUUUAGGUUGUUUGCUUGUACAUAUAUUUUUAUCUUUAAGGUAGUCUGUAUUUUCCAGAAUUGUUAUUCCCUUGGGGUGAUUUUUCAAACUUGUAUUUUUCUGGUCUGUUUUGAGUUUUUCUGAAAAUUUCAGAUUUUAUUCUGCCCUGGGGUGGUGUUCUUCUAAUACUUCAUUGAACAAUUCUUGUAAUGGAAAUAUGUUGUUUGUUACAUUCUCAUUAUUUUUAGGUGUUAUUUGUUUAAAUGGGAAAAUUUCUUCUCUAAACACAACAUCCCUGCUAAUAUAAAAUUUCUCAUCUUCUAAGUAUAGAAUCAAGUACCCUUUUAUAUUAGGGGGAUAUCCCAUAAAUAUUCCCUUAAAAGUUCUUGGAGAGAACUUAUGUUCUCUAUUGUGUGUUGUUGCAUAACACAAGCAACCAAAGGUUCUUAGUAAGUUAUAUUUGGGUUUUUGGUUGUGUAGAACCUCAAAAGGGGUUUUAUUAUCUAAAACCUUUGAUGGCACUCUAUUUAUUAUAUAAGUGGCAGCAAGUAUACAUUCCCCCCAAUAUUUUAAGGGAAUGUUGGCUUGUAUGUGUAGUGACCUAGAUAUGUUUAGUAGGCACCUAUGCUUUCUUUCAACCCUUGCAUUUUGUUGAGGGUUGUAGGGGCAAGUGAGUUGGUGAAGAAUUCCAAAGUUUUCAAGCAUCUCUUUGAAUUUGCUAGACUUGAAUUCCCCACCAUUGUCACUUCUUAUUACUUUUAUAUUUCUGCAAAAAAUAUUUGACUUUAAUAAUGAUUUUUCUUAUACAUUCACAUGCAAUAGCUUUGUCUUUGAUGAGGAAAAUCCAAGUAGUUCUACUCAAGUCUUCUACAAUGGUGAUAAAAUAUUUAAAACCAUCAUGAGUGACAAUUGGAAAUUUACCCCAAAUGUCUAUGUGGAUUAAGUCAAAUAAAUUCUCACUUAUUGUAGUGCUUUUGAUAUAUUUUAGUUUACUUUGCUUGGAUAAAGGACAAAUACCACAAUCUUUAUUUGAAAAAACUAAGUUUUUAUCACAAUUAUUCAUAACAAGUUGUUUUACAUUUUUAUUUGAACUACAAUCUACUUGAUGAUUUUUGAUUAACAUAUCAAGUUUCUCAUUGGAAAUAUGUUCAAGCCUGUUAUGCCAUACUCUAGUAUCUAAGGAAGCAUAUGCAAAUCCAGGGUGAUCAGUGUUGUAUAUGUAGAGCCCAUCUUGGCACCUACCCUUCCCAAUCACUUUCUUUGACUUGUUUUCCUGAAAAUGACAAAUUUUAUCAUCAAAAAGUAUUUUUAGAUUGCUGUCUAGAGUUAAUUUGCUAACUGAAAUUAAGUUCACCUUGAAUUGAGGUAUAUAUAGCAUAUCUUCUAGUAUUAUAUCCUUGGAAAGUGUUAUCUUUCCUGUGGAUUUGGUUCUACAUAUUUCAUCACUUGGAAUAGUGACAAAAUGAUCACCAUUUUCAGAUGGUGGUUUAUCAAAAAAUUGAAGAUUCCCAGUCAUGUGCUGGGAAGCUCCAGUAUCAAUGAUCCAUUUUGUUUUAAAUUCUAUUGCAUUGUAUGAAUGAUUUAUUUUAAAAUUCAGAACAUUAAAAAAAUAAUUGGAUUUCAUACCAUUGGUUUUCAGAAAAUAAUCCUUGAGUAUAAGGAUUUCUUCACUUGUCAUUCCUGGUAUGGCAGAUGUGGAAGAAGAAGCUUGAUUGGCUGACUCAAUCUUGGCUUUCUUGUUUUUGUUCCCUUUCUUGAAAUCUUUAUUUUUGUCAUUGGGAAAGCCUAUGAUGUGGUAGCAAUCUUUUCUAGUACUGUGACCAUAAUAUUUACAAUUGUCACAGUAUUUUGAGUUGUCUAGCUUCUUUCCAUUCUUGCUAUACAACCCUCUUUCUUCUUCUUUUUCAUUAGACCUUUUUGCAAAUAAAGCAGAUGAUUCUAUGCUUGCUUUAUCACUCUUAUCUCUGAAUAUUGCUUUCUGUUUUUCCUCUUGUAUUGUGAGAUAAAACAGUUUACUCAUAUUGGGCAGUUCAUCGUAUGAGAGAAUUUGCCCUCUUAUAGUUUUAAAAUCCUCAUUUGGUCCCAAUAAGAACUGAUGGAUUUUAUCCUUUUCCAACUUGUCAUUGUACUUGGGAAUGCAUGUGUUACAAAAAUCAAUAUUUUCUAGCUCUAUUUUUUGAUUCCAUAGAGCUUUGAAUUUAUCAUAAAACACAGUAACACUAUCAUUGCCUUGAUUCAAAUUAUUUAAUUCAUACCUCACUUGGUUUACCUUAGGAGAAUUCCCUUGGUUAUACCUUUCUUGGAGGUCUUUCCAUGCAAUACUAGCUUCUUCAGUGUGCAUUAAUGUAGACGAUAUUUGAGCAGAGACACUAUUGACAAUCCAAGACAAAACCAGUCCAUUUACAGUCUCCCAAGCCUCAAAUUCCUUCCCUGCCCUAUCCUCUGGUUUUGUUAUCUUUCCAUUCACGAAAGCAAUCUUUCUUCUAAACAGUAAGGAGAGCUUCAUAGCAUUAGCCCAACUUGCAUAAUUCGCCUCACCCAUCAGCUUGUCUGCCACCAUGAGUGCUCCUGGAUGAUCCCCGGAGUUGAGAUAAUAAAUUGAUUCUCUGUCAUUUAUUGCAGAGGUGUGGGCUGACUUCUUGGAUUUGCUGCUGUGGUGGGAUCUAUAUAUGAUGAGUUUUCUUCCUGUGUUUAGAAGAUGAAUGUGACUUGCGUCGUGGGGAAUGUAGAAUCGAGGGAGGGGAAGAUGGUGCCGAGCUUGAUCCAGAUUGAUCUUCUCUGUUUGGGGAAACAACUUGCUUUCCAUCAUCUCUGUUUUCGGAAGCGUGGCCAGAAUCUCCAGCAGAUAUCAUAUUAAAAUAGCGGCGCGGUUCUGUAUCGUCUAUUUAGUCGAGCGCCUGAAGUCCGGAGGAAGAAGUUCGCCGGACGAUGAGGAAUCAAUGAGAAAAGGGGAAGAAUUAGGGUAAUUCGUAUUACCUAAUUCAAAUAGCCGUUAACACUGUAGCAACGUGGUUAGAUUUAAUCUCUGUAUUAACUUUGUGAAAAAGAGUAAUCACAAUGUAAUUAGUUUACAGUAUUUAUAGAAGCUAAACUACCUUAACCAUAACUAAUUGCAUUAACUAAUUCUUCUUUUCUUUCUUUGAAUUAAUUCCUUACUGGGCCAAUUCUUCUUUGGUCCGUUAAGACUUUAUUGAAACAAUUACAUAGCGGUCCUCGUGCUUUAACUGUCUAUCAAACUUAUCCUUUAUUGAAACAAUUGCAGAAUAAUCCACAUUUAUAAUUUAUAAACCUGAAGAACCCAAUUGUUUUAUAACAGUCCAGAUCAGUAUAAUCUAAUUACUAAUCACCCUGUUAACACGAUUAUUCAUUUCUUUUGAUAGAAGUUUUUUAAAAAGUGGGUGGCUUACAUUUCACAAAUGUACAAAUUCAGAACUAUAAAUACUAUCAAGUCUGAUUGCCUAGAUGUUUAUAAGAUAGAAAAAAUAAAGUUGCAAAGUAUCUUUGAUGGUCGUAUUUCUUCUAGGGUUAGCCUAACAACUGAUUUAUGGACUCUAGAUCAUCAAAACCUUGGGUAUUGUGUUGUGUGUCCUGUCAUUAUAUAGACGUUCAUGGAAAUUAAAUAAGAAAAUCAUUGUCUUCAAUAUUUUUAUUGAAUGCCUACACAAUGGUGAAGUCCUUGUAACUUGGCUAAAAUAAAAGACCUACUCAAUCGUAGUUGAAAAUGCGAGCAACAACUAACCAAUGGUAAUGAUGAUUAAGAAUUGGUUAAAUAAUAAGAGGUAUUUGCUAAGGAAUGAAAAUUUAUUCCAUAUUCAAUGUUCUGCUCAUAUCAUUAAUUUGAUUGUUAUAAGUGGAUUAGAAAUAAUAUUAUCAUUGAUUGAGAAAAUCUGAAAGAGUGUAAAGUACGUUGGGUCUUCUGUUUACCGAAAAUAGAAAUUUAAUCAAGCUUAAUUUAACUCCGGUAGAUUGAAUGAUAAUAAAAAGGUAAAUUUAAAAUUUUCAUUCUGAAAAUUACCUUAAGAUAAAUUCUUUGAAAUAUAAUUUUAAUUUUCAAUGAGCUUAAAUGUUGACACACGUUGGAAUUUUACAUAUCUUAUGCUUGAAAGUGCUUUGGAAAUCAAAGAUGCUUUUGAACGUUUGACAGAUUUAGACUCUGAUUACAAAGAACUUUCAAUAUUUGAAGAAUGGAAAAUGAGAAAGAAGGUAUAUGAUUGUUUGAAGUUUUUUCAUACAAAUACACUUAGAUUAUCUGGUACGAAAUAUCCUACUGCAAACUAUUACUUUAGCGAUAUUGUAAAUAUCAGUUUUCAUCUUAGCUUAUGGAAAAAAAUUCUGAUCGAGGCAUCCAAGAAAUGGCAAGGUUAAUGCAAAUUAAGUUUGAUAAAUAUUGAGAAUUGUGUGGGUUUAUUUUGACCAUUUGUAUGAUCUUAGACCCUCGAUACAAAAUGCAUAUUUUUGUAUAUGCAUAUGGAAAGCUUUAUGGUAGUGCAUCUCAGGUCAAAUCAUUCAAGUUAUUAAGAUAACUAAAUAGAUAAAAUAUCUAUAACCAUAAUUGGUUAUAGAUGGUUAUUGUAACUAGAAUCUGUGUAAUAUAUAGAUAGUAUAAAUAGGGAUGUACUCCAUCCAGAAUAGAUCAAUCUCUUCAGUUCAAUCAACUCCUUGUACCUCAGAAGAAGGAUUUACUCGUAUUAUAUAAAUUUCGUUGACGCCAAGACAAACUUCAAUUGGGUCUAUCCACUUCGCCUAAAGUCACAAGUAAGUGAGGUAUUUUUAAGAUUUAAGAAAUUUGCUGAGCAUCAAAAUGGUUACACCAUAAAAUCAAUUCAAAUAGAUAACGCACUAGAAUUCAAGAAAAUGACUCCCAUGUUGGCAAGUUUUGUCAUCCAUCAUCGCAUGUCAUGUCCAUAUAGUCAUCAACAAAUGGGGUCAGUCGAACGUAGGCAUCGACAUUUGGUAGAUACGACAGUCACAUUAAUUCGACAAUUCAGUGACGAUGAUUUUAAAUAGUAACGACGAUUUAACACUACAAAAAAACAGGGCUACGCCCACAGGCUUAGCCACGGCUAGCUAGCAAAAGCCGUUGCUAAUUGUUGAAUAUUAGCCACCGCUUUUUUAUCCGUGGCUAAGCCCAUGGAAAAACAAUUCCGUGGCUAAAAAUCAAUAGCCACCAGACCUACAGCCAUGACCGCUCCCAUGGCUAAUUCCCAAUUAGCCACGGAUUUGACCAAAGGGCCACUGAUCUUGGCCAUGGCUGUUUCUCUGUUUUUCUUGUAGUGUCGUAGCGAUGACAAUAUUUUUGACGCCAAAAAACAUACUGUCCGUGACCAUAUGUUAUCGUCGCUAUUUUUUACCAAUUAUGACCGAUAUCGUCGCGAAUUUCUUAGCGACAAUGGAAAAUCGUCGCUAUAUUGAUCGUCGUUGGAACCCAAGAAUCUUGUAGUGUGAGUACCGACUACUGGAAUGUUGUGAUAACCACAGAUUCCAAGUGUCAACUUACUAGAAUACUAUGAUAUUAUUUUGGUUUGUUGAUAUCAAUUUUUGUUUUCGGCCAGUACUGUAAAAUAGCGAAAUCGUUGAGUAAGAUGGCUCUCUCCUACGUUAUUGUUUAAUCUUUUUUUUUUUGAAACAAAUUGAUUUUCUCUCUAUAUAUUGUUUACUUGUUGUUGGUUUUUAUUAUUGGUUAUUCUUCUGUUAUUUGCUUGUUUGGGUUCUAGUCUAGUAAGUAAUGCAGCUGGGAAUAGACGGGAUAAAAUCUACAUGUACCCUUAGGAAACACUAUGAAAGAAAGAUGAGGGAGAUGAAAUCAAACUAAACCUUUUAUAGAUGCAUGUUGGAGGUUAAACUAGGUUCUUGAGGAUCUAGGAGAAAGUAGAAUAAAAUCAAGAAAGAAGGUACGAAUAUCUUUUCACCUUUGAAUUAUGAUCUCGGAAUUUAAAAAUAAUUAAAUGUUAUUUCAUAGUAGGGCUUGUAUGUGAGUUUCACAUAAGUUUAAAAAUGUGAAUAGGUGUUGAUUAAACACAAAAUAUGAAUACGUUUAUGAUAAAAUCGAUUGGGGUGCGUAUAUCCUUACACUACAAAAAAAAGUUAGCAGUUAGGACGAGCAAAGUUAACGGAAUUUCCGUUACAAAUACUGUUUUUAACGGAAAUUCCGUUAACUUUGGUCCGAGACAAAGUUUCCGUUAAAAAUACCAAAAUCCGUUACAAAAAUCCGUUACAAAUACUCCGAAGUCAAAGUUAACGGAAAGAAAAAUCCGUUACAAAAUUUUUAGGUAUUUUUAACGGAAUUUCCGUUACAAAUAAGGAAAAAUAAUUUGUAACGGAAAUUCCGUUAAAAAUGAGGGAAAAAAUUUUUUAACGGAAUUUCCGUUACAAAAGAGGGAAAUAAAAUUUUUUAACGAAAAUUCCGUUACGAAAAAAAUUGGUAACGGAAUUUCCGUUAAAAAUCAGGGGUAAACAAUAUCAAAAAAAAAAUCAAGAAUUCCAGUGCCACUGGAAUUCUAGAAUUCCUGUAAAAUCAUUCCAAUAUCCUGUAAAAUCAUUCAAAUUCCUGUAAAAUCAUUCAAAUUCCUGUAAAUUCAUUCAAUUAAUAUUAAUUCCUGUAAAUUCAUUCAAUAUUCAACAAAUAUUCAAUACAUACACAAUAUUCAACAUUCAAGAAAAGUAACAUUCAACAAAAACUAACAUUCAAAAAAACUAACAUUCGACAAAAAUAAAAUGAAAGACCUAUUUCGAUGGAGGAGUCUGAAAUCUUUGAUCACUCUGAGCUGCAUUAAUACUUCUAUCUUGCAACGAUCCACGAUCUGAAGGUUGUGGAGUUGUAUUUGAUUGAGAUAGAACUGUUUUCUUCAAGUCUUCAAACAUAUCAAACAUUUCAUCAUAUUUCCUUUUUAAAAUUUGAUUGUCCUGUAAAACAUUUAAGAUUCAUUUAUAUUUAUGUAUUACUUUAAAAUUUUAUUGACUUUCAUACACAUACCUCCAUGAGCUUUUCCAUUCGAUCGUUCGUUCAUUUUUUCUUUUCCUUUUUCUUUGUCUUUGUCGAUAGAUCUUGCAUUCAUUUCAAUUGAAAAUCUGGUAGAAGCAGUGCUCGACUCAGCAAAUGAUCCUCCACCAAGUCCAAUGUGCCUCCCUUUUUUGCUUUGAAUAAACUUAGAAAUGCAUUUUUGUUGAAUCACCUACGUGCGAAAAAUAAUAUAUAAGAAAAUAAAACAUUUGAAUAAUUUGAAAUAGUAAACUAAUUUAAAACUUACAUCUUCAUCCGUUGUUGGACGUAAUUCUUGAAUUUCAUCACUUUUGUAAUAUUCAGACAAGUUUCUCUAUAAAAUAAGUAAUAAGCUAUGAGUAGAUCAAUAAACUACUAUUUAUGAACAUUAUAAAAUAAACUAAAACUUACAACGACUUCGUUGUCAGUUCCAGAAGAACGAAUCAAUACAUUGAUUCGUGAUGCCUCAAUGCCUUCGCUUUGCAGAUUUUCUCUUAUUGCACUGAAAGGAAUUGACCCUGUUUUAUGGUUUAAUAUCUUCUUACUCCGGUUUGUUUUGUUUAUUUUUGAUUUUCUCUGCGAAUUCAUAUAUAAUGUUAAACAACUUACAAUAUAAAAUAGUAUAUCGAUGUAUGUAAAACAAUACCUUAAAUUCUUCUGUAGUCCAUAAUUCUUCCACACACUUUUCGAAAGUGAAUCGAUCAAUGUAUGGAGGAAGACUAGCAUACAUCCUUUCAGUUGAUUCAUCAUCAGCAAAUGGGUCAAAGUAUUUUUCCUUUAUGUAGUUUCGAUAACACCUCCAAGUAUUGUUGAGUUUGGAUUUGAUGUAUUGAUGAGCAUUUGGGUAACCGUCUAAAUCAAAAUCAACCUAUAUAAUAAAAAUUGAAAAAUUAUUCGACUAAAAAAAAUCUAAAUCAGAAAAUAAUAAAAAACAUACCUCAAUGUACUCGAAUGCUUGUCGAAAGCUCUGAGAUGUUUGUUUCGGCCAGUUCACAUUCAAAGGAAAAAUCGUAUGCAUUUUUGCGACUCUAUUGAUCAUUGCAAAAAUAUCCGUUAAAAAUAGUUAAAAAAUCCGUUACAAUAUAUAAGUUCUAGUAUUUGUAACGGAAAUAGCAAAGUUAACGGAAAUUCCGUUACAAAUUCCGUUAACUUUGAUAAUAAGUAUUUGUAACGGAAAUUCCGUUAACUUUGCUUCGUCCGAACUGCCUACUUUUUUUUGUAGUGUUACUCGUUAAAUAAGAUCAAAAUGAAUUCCAUAUUUACGAAUACCUAAUUAGGUGUUGUGAAUGAUGGAAAUGAUUUUGAGUUGAUGUUUGAAUAUGAUUUUUGAAUGUAGAUAUAUUUUUGUGAUAGCAUUUUUAGGAUAUAUAUAUAUAUAUAUAUAUAUAUAUAUAUAUAUAUGUUUAAGAUGAAAUCUAUUAAGGUUUGAUCAAGUUUCAUCUAUUUAUAAAAGUUUAUGGGUUCAAUGAAAUCGACUUUUUAUGUUUCGUAAGAUUUAAGAUUUUUCUUUUAAAAUGUUGAAAUCGAGUUGGACUAAUUAAAUUGGUAUUUUACAUGUGUUUAUAGGGUUUUAUUUAAUUGAAAUUUAUAAAUCGUAUAGAAUUAAAUAAAGGCGUAUUUUACAUACAUUCUUUGAGUUUUAUAUACUUAAAAUUAAUAAAUUAUUUUUUGCAAAUAAAAAUUAAUAAAUUAUUUAAGACCAAGCCUGACUCAGAUUUUCUAAAUCCUAACUGUGGGCAUAGUUGAAGUGAUCCCAUCAGGUAUUCAUAAACCGAAAAGUUUGACAAAAGAUAAGAAAUCGAAUCGAAAAGAUACGUUAGAAUAAAUAUACCCUUUUGGAAGUCUGAAUUAUUGUGUCCUUUGGAAAUCUGAGUUAUUGGGCCCUUCGGGAAGUCUGAGUUAUUGGGCCCUUCGGGAAGUCUGAGUUAUUGGGCCCUUCCGGAAGUCUGAGUUAUUGUGCUCUUCGGGGAAUCUGAAUAAUUAUGCCCUUCGGAGAAUUUGAAUGAUUAUGCCCCGACAUCGAGGGAUUCUGGUCAGGUGAACCCAUGGGGGACCUCAGUUUAAUAUGGAUAAUUAAUUACAAAUGCCCUCCGGGCAGUUGGAAUGGGAGAACCCAUGGGGGAACUUGAGUCUGAACCUGACGAGGCGAAUGGCCCGACGAGGCAGUUUGGUCGGAUCACUUCUCCGGGAUGAUUCGAGUCUGGUUGAGAUUGUAUUCCGCACAUGAUCGAGUCAAGAGAAUGGUGAAAGUCAUUCCCAAGAGGGAGCUUGGGGCUCUAAGAGCGUCUGGACAGACCAAUUCAACUGGAUACUAAAAGAGAGAUAAGGGUUUAAAGAAAAUAAUGAAAAAUGUAAUUCGUUAGGUUAGAGAUAUCUUGUUGAAAGCAAAACUCAUUUCCGUUAUUAAUUGUUUACUUGCAGAUUGAGGAGCAGUGGCAGUAGACUACAUAGUUUUUUUGAAAAUUUAUCGUUUUCACGUCUAUAUAAAAAUUAUGUAUUUGAACCUUAAACUAUGUAUAAUAACGUUCAACCAAAUGUUUAAAAUAAUAAACCACGAAGAAAAAACUAUAACACUACAAGAAAACACAGCUAGCAAAAAACGUGGCUAAUUGUUGAAUAUUAGCCACGGCUAAUUUAAAUAUUUAGCCACAGAUGUAAAAAUCCGUGGCUAAAUUUCUCGGCAAAAAUUCCUUCCAUUUUUUCAUUAAAUAUUUAGCCACGGAUGUAAAAAUCCGUGGCAAAAUUUCCCGGCAAAAAUUCCUUCUAUUUUUUCACUCAUAUUUUAUCACGAAUUUGAAGGAACCGUGGUUAAUUUAGUGACAAUUAAAUUAACCACGGCAUUUAGCCGUGGCUAAUGAUUAUAAUAUAUAUAUAUAUAUAUAUAUAUGUAAAUGUACAAAAUUAGUGUUAGGGUUAAUAGAAAUUAACAAAAAUUAAUAAAAAAAAUUAAAAAUUAGUAAAAAAAAGUAUAUAUAUAUAUAUAUAUGUAGAUAGUGUUAGGGUUAGAAGUUAGGGUUAGAAGUAAGGGUUAGAAGUAAGGGUUAGAAGAUAGAAGUUAGGGUUAGAAGAAGUUAGAUUAUAGUGUUAGAGAUAGAUAGUGUUAAUUAGUGAUAUAUAGUGUUAUGAGUUUUUCAAAUUAUAAACUAACUUUAUUUUAAAUUAUAAAUUAAAAGUUAUUUUAAAUUUUAAAGUUAAAAUUAAAUUUAAAGAAGGUAUUUUAAUUUUUAAAGUUGUAAAUUCAAUUAUAAAAGUUAUUUUAAAUUAUAAAUCCUAAAAAGUUAAAAAUUAACAACUAGUGAUAUUUUUUAAAAUUAUAAAAAUAUCACUUCUUAAUAUUAACUUUAGUAGGUUUGUCUAAUUUAAUAAAUUUUAAAUUCGAAAAUUCAAUUUAAUAAAUUAGAUAUUUUAAAACUUAUAAAAUAACUUUAUUUUAAAUUAUAAAAAAUUAAAGAAGUUAUAAAUUAUAGUUAUUUUAGAUAUUUUAAACUUUAAAGUGAAAAAUUAAAUUUAAAAAAAUUAUUUGAAAAUUAUAAAUUCAAUUAUUAAAGUUAUUUUAAAUUAUAAAUCCUAAAAAGUUAAAAAAUUAACAACGUACUAGUGAUUUUUUUACCCGAUUACCGCGCGAUUACCAAAAACAGCCACGGCAUAAUCCGUGGCUAAAUUAAAUGGUCGUGGCUAAAUAAAUCAAUUCCGUGGCUAAAAAUCAGUAGCCACCAGACCUACAACCACGAAUUUUAUCAUUUAACCAGUGAACUUGGCCGUGGCUGUGUUCCCUGUUUUCUUGUAGUGUAAUAAAAAUCUAUAAAUUUAUGAGAUGUUACAAGUUUGGAUCAGGUAUUUUUCUGGGUAAAUUCUUUUAGGACGUCGAAAUCGUGAUAGGGAGACAUUCAAAUCUGGUGAAUACGGAAAUAUAUCUUCCCCUGACUCUUUUUAUAAUCGAAUUGAAGAUGGCAUUCUCCUGUGUCACGUCAUCAGGAUAAAGUAAAUGUGAGUCCCCUCGAAAAGACUCCUGCUCCCAAGCGUGGAGGGGGAGUCGUACUAAUGAUACCUAAAAUAUUGGGCUCUAGCCCAAUACAUUCUCCCAUCCCAGAUCGAGUAAGGGCGCCACAGAUGCAGUACGUCAGAAUAGGUCAGUGUUUGUUUACCCAACGUGCCCGUCGUCCCAGAUAUAUGUUCUCCUGGCCCGUCCCAUAUCGUCAUGAGGUUGGGUACCAGACUCGGUCCAGAAGGUCGAUCAUGCCAAUGUGAUCGAAGAGCUUAUAUAAAUACGGUAAGUUUUAGGUGCGCCGCCGUACGUCGGUGCGCCAAAAUACGUUGUUUGCAUCAUGUCCAUUAAUUUUUAAUCCAAUAACUAAAAUAAUGUACUACACAAACACAAUGACACAUGUACGACGAAAAAAAUAUAUAACAAAAGAUAUUAACUCAUGUACGACGAAAUGUCGAUCUAAUGGUCAGGAUUUUUUUGCGUAUUGAAAUUCGACGCACAAGAAAUUUACCCUAUAUAAAUAGGAUCGAUCCAGGGUGCUCCUGGAAAGGGGGUUGAUAGUAUUUGUAUAGUAGAAGUAUGUAAAAAUGGUGUUUAGAAGAAGAAGAUGGAAGAGGUAGGUGAAGCCAAACAUUUACUCAUCAUCAACAUUUGAAUCCAAUAUUUUUUGAUUUCUUUCUUCAAAACUUCGUCUUCCAUUAGUGAUUAAUUUAGAAAAAUGGCAAUGAAUUAAUUGACAAAACACCAUAAAAAAAGGCAACACAGAGAAAUGAAACAAUCAUAGUAAUCAUUUAAUUAGCUAGUGACAGAAAACACACAAUGAGCAUGAAUAGAUUUGAUUAUUAAUAAUUGAAUGUGUUUGGUGAUUAUUAGAAUGUAAAGGUCAAAUGGCAUGAAUGCAAGAGCCGUCAUUACUGCAGACCAUGCAACUCUGUGGGGAAUCUCUAUGCUCGUGUCUGAACACUGAAGGCCCCAAAUUAAACCAUAAAAUUUAGAUCUAAACAAGUGCAAGGUAGAGAGAAGAGAUGGAAGAAAGCUCACCUCCCUCUGCAAAACCUAAUUCCAAGAACAGACAGCUAGCUAGACUUUGGAACAAAGCAUGCAUACACGUGUUGGUGUGAGAUUUAGACCAUUUCGAUCACAUCUGAUUCCGAUGAAACAGAAAGACUUAACUUGGAAGCAGAAACAGGAGUUCCUUCCUAUCCCAGCUAUUGGGUCGAUCUCUCUCUCUCUAACUAUAUUUAUAGUUAUUAGUUAAUUACUACAUAGAUAGAUUAAAGAAUUAGGGUUUCAAUAUUUUUUACAGAUUAAUGAAUGAGCUUUAAUUUAGCAGCAGCUACCUAGAGGCUAGCUUAAGCUAGGAUAUCAUUCCCAUGAUAAAAUUAAGAUAUGACAAUUAACACAGGCUUUGUUUCGUAUUAUCCGGCCAGUUCUGCAUGCUAUAGCUAUAAGCUAUUUGAUUGGUAAAUUAAAGAUGAGGAGUUAAUUAAUUAUAAUCCCAUGGUCUACCAGCUGCAAACAAUUCAAGCUAGAAAGUAGCUAGCAAAUAGAAGAUAGAGAAAGGAUGAGGAAUUCAGGGUCGACGGUGAGCAUCUGAAACAAUUAAAAGGAGGUGCUGGACUCCGGAGCCGGCGCCGGGGACAGGGUGAGAUGGAUGGAUGGAGAAUAUAAGGUACGGUGCGAAUUAAAUUGUACAAAUUAAAUUAACACAUGCAAAUUCCUACCCAACGAUGAGUGAUCGAUCAUCUUCAGACCUUGUUGUGGUUUUUUCAAUGGUUAUCGGCAUCAGAAAGGUGGACGUCCGGCUACACCACCUGCCCAUCCAUGCCCGUCCACUGGCAUCUGGCAAUUUGCCAGAGGCAAGUUGAAAAAUGGUAAACCCGAAGAUGGGUCAGGAAAAGAGUUCCCACCCCCACUGUUUCCGUUGACGUUACCAUCAUCAGCUCCGGCCAAUCCAAGGGUCUGUGAGUGCAACUGCGCCUGAUCUUCUUCCUCUAACGGAAGCCGUUCGUACGCAACGUUAGUGAAGGAUGCUGCGAUGACAAUGACCGGACCGACUGCGGUUAGUUCUCCAACAACAUUCCCUCCCACAACCUGACCUUGUCCGCCAGCUAAGAAGAUGGUGAGACUGGUCGCACCUGGUGGAGCCGGUGGUGGUAGGAAAGAACCCGAAAGGGAUAAGAUCUCAAAUCGGCCAUGGAGUGUGACAACUGCACCGGCAGUUGCAGGCUGACGCAGACUUACGUUAGUCACUGUGCCGCUACCACUCAGAACACACACUCCACGCUGACGACGGCGUGCGUAGGUUGCCACAGAUUCAAACACAUCAGAUCCGCUAGCUAUCUCCAAGAUAUGCGCCCGCAGCGUGUUGGCACUUUCCCUGGUGAUAAUUACUGGGGGCUUGGGCUUAUUUUUCGAUCCCGCUGGACGACCACGUGGACGGCGACCUGAACCAUCACCAGAUCCUCCUGAUACCAUCAAGUUCCUAUCCACUGAAGAAAAACUCAACCGUUAUACAUAAAUCAUGAUAACCAGGAAAUACCCAUUACAUAAACCGAUGAAAGACUGCCUGUAGAUGGAUAAUUUUAUAGAUCGAUCUAACCUGAAUCUGACACAACCAUGUCUUGAUUGUGUUGGCCAAAAUCAUCAUGGCCAUGGGCAUGGGUGUGGUGGUUGUGGUGGUCACCGUUUGUGUUAUCAUCUCCAUCUGAGUGUUGAAGAUGAAGAUCAGGGCGAUGGAGUUGAUGAUGGACAAAACGGGAUGUGGCUCCUAGAUCCAAGCCUGCCAUACUAACAUAGAAAGGGAAAAAAUAUAUAGAAAAACAAACAAGGAUGAACAGUUUUUUUUUUCUAAGAAUUUUUUUUUUUUAAAUGCAAGAGAAAGUAGAAAAAGUGGAUAGAAUGAAUAUAAAAAACUGAGCUUUUCUUAUAUUAUAGAUGGUUGAGGAGGACCGAAGAGAAGAAGGGCAGAAGAGAGUGUGAGAAAAAAUUAUUAAAACCAAUUCAAGGAAUAGAAAAAGAAAGAGGAAGCAGCCAAGCAGGUGGAGGAGUGCAGGCAAAGUAAGAUGAAGAAAUAAGAAGACAGAGAAAGAGAAAGAGAGAGCUAUGGUGGUAGCCGGUGGUGGUGGUGGUGGAUGAUAAAAUAUUAAACUCUUGGUGUUCCUUUCUCUUUAUCUGCACAACUAUGUGGCGAUGAUGAUGUUAAUUAUAUAUUAAUACAUCGGGAAUCAUAAACUAAUACAAUUUGCAUUAAACUAUGGUUAAGGUGUGGAAUGUGAUGCAUACAUGCUGUGUUGACUAUGGGUUAGGGUUCAUCGACUUCUUCAAUUCCUUCUUUUAAUUUCUACCUCCUCCGAUGUCAUCCGAUGUCCGAUCUCAUCCUUCUCCAUGGCUUUUUUGAGACUUGAGUUUGGAAUUGAUUGAUUGAUCUGCUCAAGCAGAAAUGAUGAACUGAUGAUGAGGCAAGCAGCGCAGGCAGGCGGCCGGAGACUGAUUAAUUAUGCACAUAUAUAUAUAUAUAAUUGAAUCGACAAUUAAUUAAUACCCUAAUCAUUUAAUCAAAUGUUUCGUGCACUUAACUAAUUGAGAAGUAAUUAAGAAGCCAGUAGCUUGCUAGAGAGCAAGAAACUAAGAAAAUUGAAUUGAUUUUGUGCAUGCAAAUUGUGAGAGUCUGGAGAUCGAUCUGUAAACGGGGGGCACGGCGGCUGUCGGCUUCCUUCAUCGGGAGUUGGACUGGUCAAACGUUUUUGUCCAAGCAUGGGUGAGAGCGGAGGAUGCAUGGAUGCCUCCAACCAACCCUUUAAAUCAGGUGGGUGUGUUUUGAUUUUUGAAGGAGAAAGAAACUAGCAGUAAACACAGUGAAUACGUUGCUAUUGCCCGAGCCCCGAGCUGUCUGUUUGUCUCUCUGUCUCUCUGUCCGUCGUGUUCAUCGCCAUGCACUAGCUCUUCUUUUACAUCUAGUCUCUUCUUCGAUCUUCUGAUCAUCUUCACUACUUCGUGACUUCACCCAUGUAGUCAUGGGAGUUUGGGUUCUCUUUUGCACAUGGCAUGGAAAAAAAGCUCUAUUUAUUUUUAUUAUUAAAAAACACACCUUGCAGCUGCUGCUGACUAGCUUACCAUGCAUUGGAACCCUAACCCCAAAUACUUUUUAAUAUCUAAAUCACCCCCCGUAGUUUUCGGGCUUCAUUUUCCUGUCAGAUCAUACCUAGCUACCUACCUAUCUAUCUGGCUAUAUGUCAGCUUCCUACACCUACGAAUCUACCUCUCUUGGUGUCGAUCUCUUUUGUCAUCUGUUAGUACUGCACUGCACUCCUCUUUCAAUCUUUCAUGCUGUUCUUUCUCCAUGACAAACUUCAAACUAGGGUUGGUUCAUAUUCAAGAUCAAGUUGUUCAUGCACUUGGACUUGGCUGGAUCGAUCGAUAUAUAGAGCAGCAGAAGCUGUUUGUUGUCGUCGUCAUCAUUGAUUCAAUAUAUUUUAUUGAUCGUAGAUGCAUGUAUAUAAUAUUGGUGAGCGCAGUGGUGGCAUCGUGUUGAAGAUGCUCCUUGUCGUGGUGUGUUUAUACUAUAUAUAUAUACAUAAUACAUUUCGAUCUUCUUAUGUUGAUAUAAAAUUGAUUGAGUUCAGCAGCAGAAGCAGAAACCUUUCAGCAUGAUGAGUGAUGACCGAUGGAUCAUGGAUGUAUUGGACCAGACAGUUGGGUCAAGUUAGUUAAUAAUAGUUUGUUAGUAAUAAUAGUGUGUUGUAUAACAAUAUUUAAUUUGAAGUAAUUCAAUCAAAUCGAUUCAGUCUACUCUCCAUCGAUUCUGAAUACUCUAUACACUACAAAAAAAACAUUUUUUUUCUUCUUCUGAUGGGUAAUUCCUGACGAUCUAGCCUAGUGGCUGCUAGUGGCUGCUAGUGAUGUUUUUACGUUAAUACUUACGGCUUGGUUGCCAGUAAGCACCAAGAGUCCACCAAUGUUAUUUUUUUUUCUUAAAUAAAAGAUAUUUUUGACGGCUUGGUCGUUGGUGUAAUUUUUCUCUUUAAAUUAUUGACGACUAAACCAUUGGUAAUGUUUUUCUUCAACGGUCGAGAAAACAUUACCGACGACUAGACCGUCAGAAAAUUUUGAAACUCUGACCUAAAUAACCCUAGUCAACUUGCACUGCUAUGGUCCACCUACAUUAGUAAAAGAGAACUUAGGUCGGCAUCGUCUAUAAAGGAGGAUCGACAUCCGUUGAAACUAACACUCAGUCAUUGGUAAAACUAUUUAAAUCUAAUUUGUUCAUUUUUUAUUUCAACUAAUUGAUCAUUUUUUCAUGAUACAGAGUUUGAAACUAAGUCGACCAGCUUCUUUUACAGAAUCUUUUAUGGUCACGCAUUAUCCGAUAAACGAUAGAGGCAAAGCUCUAAUGGUACGUAUUUAAAUAUCAAUAUUUUAUAAUUUCCUUCUUUUUCAUUACUAAUUCAUUUAUUUGUUUUUUAUAAUAGUCGGAUUACGAAAUGUACAGAAAAAAACAUUUCGAUAAACAACAAUCAAUAGAUGAAACCGAGGAGGAAUCAACUGACGAAGAACAAAUGUCGACGCAAGGAUCAACCUCCUACGGGCAAAAAAAGGCGUUAUUCAUUGAUGACAGUCUGGAAGCUUGGAUUAAGGCUACGGGAGGCAAGACGAAAGGACAUAUUCUCGAAAUAAGACUGGGGGACGAUUCAUUGAUGCCAAAGAAAUCUAAGGCUAAAAUAGAUCGCCAAACAAAAGAAGAAAUAGAAAAGAAGAAACAAAAAGAAAUCGAUAGUCGUGUUAAAGUAGCUGUUAACAUGGAAUUAAAAGUCGUUAACCAGAGAUUCGACACGGUUAGCCAACAACUGGAGGCCUUGAUGAAAAAACAUAAUGACUUGUUAGACAAAAUCGCUACUGACAACAUAAUGAAAGUAAGUUAUUUAAUACUUAUUCAAAUUCUUAGUAUAAACGUUAAGUUAAUCGAUCAAAAUUAUUUUGUUGUUUUUUGAGAGGGAAACACAAGCACGAGCACAAGUCAAUUAGCGAUUGUUCCAAGUAAGAAUCCUCCAAAUUCUCCUUUGAAUCUUAAAGGUGUAUUAAAAAAAAAUAGUUGAAUUUUACUUUGAAUAAUUUGAAUGUAACACUACAAGAAAUAAGACCUUGUAUGACGGUCUUUAGAUGGCGGAUUUCCACCAUCUAAAGUGAUCGUCCGCGGAAAUCCGUCAUCUAAAGAUCGUCAUCUUGGACACCGUCAUUAAAACCCCACAACCGCCAUCUAAAGACCGCCAUCUAUUAUCCAUCCCCAUUUCCCACCAAAAAUUGUAUAGAUAGCGGAUUUCCGCCAUCUAAUCUGAAAAUUUUCGCGGGAACUGAAAAGUUUUAGAUGACGGAUUUCUGCAAUCUAAAAUAUAACGCGGAAAAAGUUUGACGCCAAUUCAUUGAUGGCGGUUAAUUUUAUUGAUGACGGAUGUCCGCCGACUAUCUUUGUAACAUUAGAUGGCGGAUUUCCGCCAUCUAAAGUACAGCAGACGGUUCCCUAAGUUUAUAGAUGACGGAUAUCCGCCAUCUAUUCGUGGGAGAGGGCGAUUGUGCCCAUAUAGAGAUGGCGGAUUUCCGCCAUCUAAAACUUAGUAGAAGAGUAUAGAUGGUGGAAAUCCGCCAUACAAUGUUUGUUUCAUUUUUUUUUUUAAAACAGGAUUCUAUAUUUUGCGUUCGAAUCGUUGUUUUUUGAAAUAAAAAUCGAUAUUUGAGAAAACGAUUUUGAAAUUGAAAUUGAAAUCGAUGUUUUUAUUGAAAAUAAACUAAAAUACAUAAUCGUUAAACAUUCGAUGUUUGAAUAAGAAAAUAUAAAAAUAGUUUCAUCAACACUCGUCUGAAAUUGAGUCUUCUGAAUCAGAAUCCGAAUUAUCUGAUUCGAAUGCAGACGGUAUGGUGGACUUUGAUGUUGAAGCCAUAUGCGUCAUGUCGAGUCCGGAAGUCUUCAAAGUUUUAUUGAGUUUCUUCAUAUAAGAUUUCAUUGCAUUGAACUUCUUCUUGUAUUUGGAGACGACUUUCUGACUCUCGUUACACUUGUUCUGAAAAUGAAAACAAAAAUGAGUUCGAUAAUCAACAAAAUUAUUGAAAUAUAUUUAAAAUACCUCCAAUUCUUUGAAUUUUUCCGACCAAACUGCAUCUGGUAUUGCAUCAGUAAUCGUGUUUUCGAAGAUCGGCUCUUUUCCUUUUCAAUUUGGAGAAGCUCAUAUUUCGUUCGUUGUGCUCACCAUACUGGCAGCUUCUCCAAUUCCUAUUAUUCUAUUCUUCUUAUUUUUUCCGAAAGUCUUGUUGACCGUCGCUUCGAUAAAUUGCUGCAUUAUAAAAAAAAAAAUAAGAAAUGCGAAAUAUAUUUAAAAUAAUCAAUGGAACUUACAAAUGGAGUCAUUGCUUCAGAUUCAACCCACGAUUUUGCCUCUUGACUUUUGAUAAAUUCCGUGGCUUCAAGCUGAAAGAAUAACAAAAUCAAACAAUGAUAAUAGAAAUUAUAAAAUAUAAAUAAUUUUAAAAAAAGACUUACAACUUUAUCGCUUUCCUUAUAUGUCAUUUGUAAAGUUUCUGACCAAGCUUCGACUUCACUUCUUCCUUGUUGCAUCUAUAUUCACAUAAUUCAUUAAUAUAUAAAAAAAUUAGAUAUAAAUUAUAACGAAUGGUGUGAUAACACCGAUCAUAACGAAAAAAGUAAACAUAAUCUGAAAUAUUUAAAUUUUAAAAUAAAAUUAGUUAUUUUAAAUACAUAACCAGACACCCGUAUAUGGGGUCUUGGUCUGAUACAACAACCAAACAUUUUUCCUAUUGUAAUUUACAUUCUUUAUUAUUAGACACAACAAAUCUUCGAAGUCGUCGUGAGAAGAGUUGUAUUCGAUUUUGAAUGAAUGUGUGCCACCACAAUCAUUCAACACUCUAGGUUCGUAUCCUAACACUAAAAUAUGAUCGGUUUUCAUUGUUUGAGGAUUUGUCGACCAUAUUUUUGGACAGUUGUGAAAAUGAUGACCGUUGACUCCGCAACGGAAACAAGCAAAAACACGACAAUAAUAAUCUAUGUUUUUUAAAAACUACGUUAAAUCUGAUUAAGUUGCUCGAGUCGUUCAUAUCGUUCGACGAUUGCAAGUAGUUGACUCAUUUUUUACUGAAAAAAAGAAAUAUCUAUAAUCAACAUAAUAUUACAUUCAAAAUAUUAAAUUAUAUUGUAAUGUAAUACUUUAUAAUUUAAUUACAACAAUCAUCAUUAUCGACAUCGAAAAUAUCUCUAUUUGGUAUUUUAAGGACUGAACUCCAUUCAGAUUCUACCGGAUCUUGAAUGUAGAAACAUUGUUGAGCCUGAUUUGCCAAAAUGAAAGGUUCCUUUCCAAAUUUCCCCCGUGUCGUGUUCACAGAAACGACACCAAAAUCAUCUACUUUAGUACCUGCUUUUCCAGGAUCGUACCACUUACAUUCAAACAGACAAUAUUCAGUCGUGUGACCGUAGCAAAUUUCGAAAACAUUUUCUAAUAAUCCAUUGAAGCCAAACAACUUGGUCCGCGGGAAAUAGAAUUUAAAUCUGUGUCAGAUUGUUGAGAUUCGGACAUGUAUUUUUUAAACCAUUCGACAAAUUGUUUGAAGUGUAAAUUUUCCAGACGGAGCUGUGUGUGUUUUGGAAACAUAACUUUCAAUUGCUUCAAGUAUUUAUGUCGAUAUGGUUCGAUACUUUCAAGGUCAAACAAUAUACAUUGAUGCAACUGUUUCUGUUGUAAAGUAGUCAACGUUAUAUCAGUUGGUGCAUUUAAAAACCCAUCGAUAUACCAAUUUGGCCGAUUUGAUUUUGUCUCGACAUUUUGUAAAAACCGAGAACAAAACGUCAUUGACUCUUCAGCAAGAUAAUUUUCCGCAAUAGAUCCUUCCGGGUGACUACGUACGGUCACAUGAUUUUUUAAAGUCAAAAGAUACCUAAAAUGAGAAUAUAUAUUGUAUGAUCAAAACAUAUUAAUUAUAAAUUUAUUUAUAAUUGUAUAAAUAUAUAUACCUCUCAAUCGGAUACAUCCAUCGAUAUUGUACCGGUCCAGCUAUUUUCACUUCAGUAGCUAGAUGGACUGUCAGAUGAACCAUUACAGUAAAAAAACCGGGAGGAAAGAUUUUCUCAAGAUUGCAUAAUGUAUAUAUAAUUCUUUUCUCCCAUCGUUCCAUAAGUUUGAUUUCGAUCACCUUCGAACAAAUAUCGUGGAAAUAUCCGCAAAGUUCAACGAGAACCGAAGUCACUACAGGUUUUGUCGAUUUUCGUAAUGCAAUAGGAAGUAACUGUUGCAUUAUAACGUGACAAUCGUGACUUUUUAAUUCGAUAAAUUUUCUUUCUUUCAUUUUCAGUUGCUAAACCAAGUCUCACAUUACGAGGUUCGGAUGCAAAUUUGGGAUGAACCUCGUCAAAUUUCUUCCAUUGUAAAGAAUCUGCUGGAUACCAAAGAAAUCCGUCGUCUUUACGUUUGGAAUGGUGUCAUAUCAUGUCUUCAGAAAUUUUGGAACACAGAUACAAUCUCUUCAAACAUGGAAUCAACGGAAAGUGGCGAAGACAUUUCGCUGGAACACGUUUGUUUUUCUGAACGCCUUCGACGACCCACCUGCACGUUCCGCAAUUUGAGCAAGUUUCUGCGUCUGCAUGCUCAUUUCGAUAUAAAAUACAAUCGUUGCGACAUGCAUCGAUUUUCGUAUAAUUGAGGCCCAAGUCACGAACUACCGAUUUCGCAUGGUACAUGGUUUUCGGAAUGGUCGACUCCCCAUUUGGAAUAGCACGACGCAUGAUGGAUAAUAAUUUCUGAAAACUUUUAUCACUCCAAUGAUUGUCACAUUUCAACUGAUACAAUUCCAAGAUAAAAGAUAGUUUGGAAAACUCUGUGCAACCUGGAUAUAACUGUUCUUCACCUUCUUUUAGACGGCGUAAGAACGAAUCGUCAUAUCUGUGCUCUGGAUCUUCGUCGAUUGGAUCUACAUCAACUGGAUCUUCAUGGACAGGCUCGUAUUCGAGAGGUUCUGUUUCGAGAAAAUCUUCGUCGAUUGUAUUCUCAAUUACAUGUUCUCCGUAAACCGCACGAAACAAUCCAAUCAUAUCGUUACCAGUUUCCGGCACUGUCUCUUUUCGUUUCACUUUUUUCUCACCAUAUCUACUCGGUAACUCUCCGUGACGCGUCCAAACAUCGUAAUGUUUCAACCAACCAUUUAUGAAAACAUGCUUCCUCAUCUCCUUUAUAGGAAUCACUUCACUAUUCGUGCAGGACGAGCAUGGACAAGGUAAAUAACCUUCUGGGUGAGUCGAAUUCGAAAUGACGAAAUUAGUGAAAGUGUUAACCCUUCACCGUAUUCUUUCGAAAACCGAUCUAAACUCAUCCAAGCUUUAUCGGGUACUUUCAUGACGUUCGACAUUAUCCUAAAAAUUAAUUUUUUUAUCGAAUUAUAAUUAAUUAGAUAAAAAUUAAUUGACUAUUACAAUAUUAAUUAUAGUUCAAUUAAUAUUAAGUUCAUUUUUUUUGGGAAAAUCUAACUAAUUAUUGAACUAUUCCGAAUCUGUUUCAUAAACAACUUUCUUCGGAGUUGCUGGUUGCGGAACUGGAGGGGCCGGUGCUGGACGAACAGGUGCCGGCGGUGCGGGAUAGGCCGGUGCUGGACGAACAAGUGCCGGUGCUGGAUGAACCGGGAGAUAAAACCGGAAAGCAUCUUGGGGAUUGGGUGGUAGAGCCCUCUUACGAGGUAAUUGCUUUACUCUACGUGGCAUUUCUUAAAAUCUAAAAAAUUAAUUUAUUAAUUAUUAAUUAUCAAAUAAUUAAAUAAUCAUUCAUUUUUAAACAAAUAAUAUUUUUAUUAAUUAACAAAUUUAAUUUCAUGGCAAAUUAAUAAUUAUUAUUUCAAUUUAAAAUCAUUCAAUUUAAUAAUUAUUCAUUAACAUUUCUAUAAUUUCAUGCAAAUUAAUUAAUCAUUAUUAUUUCAAUUUAAAAUCAUUCAAUUUAAUAAUUGUUAAUUAACUAAUUUAUAAUUUCAUGCAAAUUAAUUAAUUAAAUUGUUCUAACAUUAAUUAAAUAGUUUUAAAAUAAAAUGAUAAAAUAUUUCAUUAUUAACAAAUUUUUCAAAUCAUUUCAUGCAAAUUUAAUAUAAUUUAUAAUUUAACAAAUUAUUAAUUAUUAUUCAAUUGUUAAUUUCAUGCCAAAUAAUAAUUUAAUAUACUAAUUGUUAUUUCAAUUGAAAGUUAAAAUGAUAAUUUAAUCAUUUAAUUUUACAAUAAAUUUAAUAAUUUAAAAUUUAUUUGACUAAAUAAAUAUAUUUAAUUUUUUUACGCAANNNNNNNNNNNNNNNNNNNNNNNNNNNNNNNNNNNNNNNNNNNNNNNNNNNNNNNNNNNNNNNNNNNNNNNNNNNNNNNNNNNNNNNNNNNNNNNNNNNNNNNNNNNNNNNNNNNNNNNNNNNNNNNNNNNNNNNNNNNNNNNNNNNNNNNNNNNNNNNNNNNNNNNNNNNNNNNNNNNNNNNNNNNNNNNNNNNNNNNNNNNNNNNNNNNNNNNNNNNNNNNNNNNNNNNNNNNNNNNNNNNNNNNNNNNNNNNNNNNNNNNNNNNNNNNNNNNNNNNNNNNNNNNNNNNNNNNNNNNNNNNNNNNNNCAACUAGUUAGUAAAUUAUUUAAUUAUUUAAAAACAUUUAAAAGUAUUAAAUAAUUAAUUGAUUAAUUUAAAACAUGAAAAACAUUAAUUAUUUAACUAUUUAAAAAUAUUAUAUAAUUUAAUUAUUUAAAAACAGUAUUUUAAUUAUUUUAAUAACUAAUUAUUUUAAUUUUAAAAUAUUAAGAAACAGUAAUUAAAUAAUUAUUUAAUCUCGAUUUUAAAAAACCUAUAACAACCUAUAACAACCUAUAUAAAUAAUUAUUUUAAUAACUCAUACAUUAAAAAACAUAAACUCUUACUCAUUUUUUAUUUAACCUGAAAACAUACACAAAAAUAAACUAAGUAUCAAUUCAUACGUAUGGCACAAAAGUACAAUAUUCCAAACAGCAAAUUAAACCAUUUCAUCAUCAUCGUAAUUAAACAAAAAUAUAUUCCAGCAAGAUUUUAUCAUCAUACAAAAUAGAUAAACAUUUCAUCAAUAUACCUUCACAGAUCGAUACCUUCACAAAUUCAUAUAUUGAUAAAGUUUAGUAUAUAUUAAUAAAUCAAUAGAAAAGAUGAAGAAUCAUGAAAACUAAAGAUGAAACUAUACACUAAUUAAAAAAACUAAAACAGUACAUGAACUAACUAAAAAAUACAAUAACUAAAUGAUGCAAUAUAAUUCCAAUUACUUAAGACAACAGUACAUGAAAAUGUAUAAUUCAAAUUAAUAGAUUAUCAUUUCUUCUUUCUUGAACUUAAAGCAUGUAUUUGAAAUUAAUCGAUAGAUAGAUACAUACGAACAGAGAUAAAAUCAUAUAAAACAUCUCUCAUGUUACUUGCAGGACAGAGAUAAAAUCUCUCAUACGAAAAGAGAUAUCUUGGGUGGAUGAUUAAGUUUAGGUAGGAUGGAUAGGAUGAAGUAGAGAUAGCUAGAACCUAUUGAAUAUGCAACUGUAAUUUUAUGUUUGGUUAUGAUGGUUUUUGUUCUGGUCAAUUCCUUGAAGCUUAAAGUACUAAUAUUGUGUGAUGCAUGAGAUUGGAGUUCACAUCUUCCCGCAGACCAAAUUUUCUUGCACACAUGCUAUCUUAGUGGAGGGAAGGGGUAUGUAAUAUAAGAUGAGGAUUUUCCAAGAAUAGAUAUUGGCUAGAUUUUUAAAAUUUCUCAUUUUAAUUAGUUUGAAGAAAAUAACUCUGGAUUGGAAAUUUUGAUAUCUGUUUUUCUAGACAAAUCUUUUGAAGAAAACUAUCAUGAGUAGUUGCGUCAGAUCUGUGAACCAUCAAAAUGGAAAUCAACUCCCAUAAAAAACAUGGCACUAUUUAACAACUAACAUUAGAAGCCCUUCUUAUUUUCUCUGUAUAUAUUUGGAUCUCCUAACAUGGCACUACCUAAACUUAAUAUUUUCACAUACCCAAGAUAUCUCUCAAAAUCAAUAUCAAAAAUCUAUAACAAAUAUUGAAACAUAUAAAUAACAUCAUCUCACCAAAGCAAACACCGGAGCAAGGACGAACGGCGAGACCGGAGGCAGGGACGAACGGCGAGACCGGAGGCAGGGACACCGGAGCAAGGACGCACGGCAGGAGCAGGAGACCGGCGGCAACAGAAAUUUUCAGAACAGACGAGUUCUGUUCUGAUUUGGGGUUUUUAAUAAACCCCAAAACUUACAUGGCGGAUUUCCGCCAUGUAAGUACACUUAAGUUCCGCCGGGACUUCAGUGAAAUUCCGCCCAAUCGAAAUUUGACGGGCUUUUUCCGCCCGAUUCCCCGAAAACAUAACAUGACGGAUAUCCGCCAUGUUAUGACAAUUUAAUCGGGUAAUCGGGUUUAAUAUUGGGGGGAAUUGAAAAUUUGGGCGGGAUAGUUUAGAUGGCGGAUUUCCGCCAUCUAAACACCGCCAUCGAAAAUAAAUUUGAACCGCCGUCGAGCCAAAACGUAUCCUCGACGGACUCAAAGAAUAGAUGGCGGACAUCCGCCAUCUAAACAACUGGAUUAUUGAUGGCGGAAAUCCGCCAUCUAAGGACCGCCAUACAAUGUCCUUUUUUUUGUAGUGUAAAUUUGAAUAAAUUGUGAAUGAUCGAAUAAAUUUAUAUUUUUCUAUUGUGAAUUAUGAAUGAAUUGUAUAUUUUGAAUGAAUUGUGAAUGAAUUGUGAAUUGAAUCGAAUGAAUGUCUAUUUUCAGGUAAAAGAAUGAAUGUGUAAGGCUCCUAGAGAACACCCAUUAGUUUCGGCAAAUUUUUUUUUACCGACCUUAUUAAUUAGCGACGGCCUAGGGACGGCUAGUUGAAACAGUAAGAUAAAAAAAAUUAGCGACGGCUUAGAGACGACUUAGAGAUGGUUUUUCUGAAAUUUAGGGACGGCAAUGAAAAUUUGGGCGCCAAAAAAUUGGUGCGGGGAAAAUAAUUAGCGACGGCCAAAAUCCAUCGCCAAUCCUUCCCUAAUAAUUAGAGACGGAUAUGAAGACCAUCGCCAAAAAUCUAGUGAGGCGACUUUCAGGGAAGGAUUAGAGACGACCAAAAUCCGUCUAGACGUCGCUAAAAGUCAGUAAUCUGGUAGUGUUAAAUCGGCCACCCCAAAUCCCAAAAACUUCUGAGGGUUAAGCCGCAAGAAAUAUUUUUCCUGGGAAGAUUUUACUGGGGGUUAAGCCUCCAGAAAUAUUUUUCCUGGGAAGAUUUUACUGGAGGCUAAGCUGCCAGAAAUAUUUUCUCUAGAAAGGUGUUCCUGGGGGCUAAGCUGCUAGUAAACUUUUUCCCAAGAAGGUAUAUUACUGACAAUCAGUAUUAUUACAACGUUAAUCGGAUUUGGCAUUUAUUAAGCCGCUAGCAAAUAUAAUUUGGCGACAUUAUUAGUAACGUUGUCAUAUUGGCGGCCUGGCUGCCAGUAAUACCCGUCAGAAAAAAUUCAUUUUUUCUGUAGUGAUAUAUGGUAUCAGAUUAACGAUGAAGUUCAUUAUGUUUAGAUGACAACCACCAAUCCGCAUUCUUGGUCCCGACUCUCCGACGUUCGGGACAGUUGCUCUAAGAGUCUAGAUCUAUUAAGCAUGUUAAUUCUCAAUGUAUUCAUUAUCAAAGAUAUCCUUUACUUAUAUACUACACUUAAACACUAAUAUUCAGUUAACUAAACUAUCACAACUAACAACAGAUUAAAACUAAUUCUUCUUUCAUUUUAUUCUUCUCAUACUCCUCAAGACGAAGGUAGUAUUAUCGUACUGAGUCUUGAACCACUCCUAACCCAGCCAUCAUAUCAAUUGCAAUUAUCAUCCAGUUUUUUGAUCUAGAGUUGUAUACAUCUUUAUGAUUGUUGAUUAAUUGGAUUGAUAGUAAGGAUAAAAAACCCAGUAGGAUACAUACUUUUGCUCCUUUUUUCAUUUUCCUGGGAAAACCUAUCCUAUCAAGCCAAUUGAACCCAUCACUACUCUUUACUCUGUCAUCCUUCCCUUCUUGCUUUACCUGCAAAGAAACAAAGAACAACCACAGCCCAACAUAUCCACCAAAAAAAAAAUUUUGAGAGAAAAAAAAAACUAGUUCAACAUAUUAAUUACAUAUGAUCAUACAUAUCAACAUAUCAAAUAGUUUUAGUAAAUUUAAUCAGAAUUUAAGAAUUGAGAGAAAGUUUAAACAAUUGAUUUAUUUUUAUGACUCUCCAAAUUUUCACACAUCCUUAUUGUAAUUCUUUUUGUUAAUUCCGCAAACUUAUCAUUUCCUAAUGAUUUUGAUCUGCCAAUUGAUCAAUUGUCGGUAUAUAUCUUAUUUUUAACGCUCUUUUUUUAAUUAACUCUCUUACAUAAUGAUAGUCCGUAUCUAUGUGUUUGGAUCUACUACUACUAACCGGAUUUGAAGCAAGAAAUAUUGCAGAAAUAUUAUCAUAAUAUAAAGUUGGCGAUGGGAUCGAUAAAGAUCCCUACACAAUAGAGAACACCACCUUAUCUCAGUUGUAGUAUACCCUAUAGAUCUGUAUUCCGUCUCUGCACUUGACCUUGACACUGUAACUUACUUUUUAGAUGACCAUAAAAUCAAAUUACUUCCUAAGAAUAGACAGAUGUCUGUUACAGAUUUCCUAUCAUUUAAAUCACCCGCAAAAUCUGAGUCACAAAACCCUACUAUUUUUGUUGAUAUAGAUUUUGUAAUAUGCAACCCAUUUAAUAUUGUUCCUUUAACAUACCUUAGAAUUCUUUUAGCUGCUGUCAUAUAUGUAGUUCUAGGUAUCUACAGGAAUUGGGAUACUUGAUUCACAUAGUAUGCUAGAUCAGGUCUGGUCAAUGUUAGAUACUAUAGCGAUCCAACAAGCAUUCUAAAUGGUUUAGGAUCCUUUAAAAUUUCUCCCUCAUUAGCUACCAAUUUUGAUCCUGACAAUGCUGGUGAUCUGAUAGGUUUACACAAUGACACAUUAAACUUGACUAAUAAUUCUGUUGCAUAUCUUGAUUGCGUAAGCAUAAGAGAUUUAUCUUUUUGUCUGGUAACUUCAAUUUCAAUAAAUGUUCUUAGGAGUCCUAGAUCUCGACACUUAAACUCUAGGCAAAUUAUUUUUAUAAUAUUCUCUAUUGCAUGAGUAUUAUCUCCCGUUAUUAUCAUGUCAUCAACAUAAACUAGAACCCAUACAAUGUAAUUAUGCUUUCUUAGCACAAAUAAUGAUGCAUCCGUCGGACUAUUUUUAAAUCCAAUCUUUACUAAGAAAUCACUCAAUUUAGCAUACCAAGUCCUCGGUGCUUGCUUUAGUCCAUAAAUGGCCUUUCUAAGCCUACAUACAUGAUCCGGAUACUUAUUAUCUAUAUACCCCGAAGGUUGCUUCAUAUAGACUUCUUUUGAUAACUCUCCCUGUAGAAAGGCAUUCUUUACAUCCAGCUGCCUUAAAGUAUAUCCUUUUGUCGCUGCUAUAGCUAAUACUAUUCUAAUAGUGGGUGAUUUUACUACAAGACUAUAUAUCAGAUUAAAGUCUAUAACCUCUAUUUGCUUAAACCCCUGGGCUACUAAUCUGGCUUUAUACCUAUCAAUCGAACCAUCAUUCUUUCUCUUAAUCUUAUAUACCCACUUACAUCCUACAAUAUUCAUUGAGGAAUCUAACGAUACUAAUUCCCAAGUUUGAUUUUCCUUAAGAGCAUUAUAUUCUUCACUCAUAGCCUUACACCAUUUUUCCGACUUGAGCGCUUCUCCUAGUCCUUUUGGUUCUCUAUUUUCUAAGUCAAAUAUGUCUGCUAUAAGAGCCUUUGGCAGCAAAUAACUUGAUCUAAAAUCUUUAGCAAGUCCCAAUGGUGCAGAUUUUAAUCUCUUACUUCUUCUAUUUGUUUGCCAAUUGUUUCCCUAGACAUCCUAAUCUCAUUAUCUUCAUUCCUUAUUUGCUCAAUAGAACUAUCUUCAUGAUUAGGUUGUCUUGUUUCACCUCUACCUUCACUCCGACUUAUCUCAGUAGUACUAAUAGGAUCUAUUGCAGAAUUUUCUAAUUCCCCAUAUGACUCUUGACUUCUAGUAUUUUGGUGUUCAAUAUUCCUACUAAAUAUAAACUUGGGUACAUGAAUAUUAUCUAUUACUUUCAGAAAUUUUAAUCCUACAUUCUUAUUGACUGUUUCUAAUUCUUUAGUAUAUUGAAAAGGAAAAAUUCCUUCAUGAAAUUUUACAUGUCUUGAAACAAUCAUUUUGUUUGUCCCUAAGACUAAACAUCUAUAACCCUUAUGUUUAGGUGAGUACCUUAGAAAGCAACACCUAGCCGCCUUAAGGGAAAAUUUAUCCCUUUUUGUCUUAGGUAAAAGGGGAAAGCAUAAGGAUCCAAAAAUCCUUAAAUACUUGUAGUCUGGUUUUCUAUUAAACAAAACUUCAAAUGGAGAUUUAUUCUCUAUAUUAGGAGACGGUAACCUGUUUAUUGUAAAAAUUGCUACUAAAGCAGCUUCAUCCCAAUAAAUUCUAGGUACCUUAGAUUUGAAUAAUAAACACCUAACUGUUUCAAUCAAGUGUCUAUGUUUUCUUUCAGCUAUACCCACCUGUUCAGGGGUAUAAGGAGAAGAAAAUCUCUGAAGAAUUCAUCUUUGUUUCGUGUAAAUUUUGAAUUCCUUAUUUAGGAAUUCUCUUCCUUAAUCUGAUUGGAUUAUCUUAAUUCUAUAAUCUAAAAGAUUUUCAGCAAUAUUUUGAAAAACUUUAAAAUUGCUGAAAACUUCACUCUUAUUUUUCAGUGGAUAAAUCCAAGUAUACUUACUAAAUUCAUCCACUAGAAUUAAAUAAUAUUUAAAUCCUGAAAUUGAGGUAGUAGGGGCUGGUCUCCAAACAUCUAGAUGAAUAAUUUCUAGAGGUUUGGUAUCAUAUACCUCUCUUCUAUUAAAAGCCAAUUUAUGCAUUUUAUUUAAGGAACAAACUUCACAACACAAUGUUUUAUUUAUCUUUGUAUUACAAAUUUGAUUUACAAUCCUACUAUUAGCAUGACACAAACGAUCAUGCCAUAUAUUUUUAUUACUUAGUGUAUUUAAUGAAGCACUAUAUGCUACUCCAUUCUUCUUCCUUCCAUAUUGUAAGUGAUAAAGUCCUCCAGAGUUAUUGCCAAUCAAAAUAGUCCUCUCUGUCUUCUGGUCCUUAAUAACACAACCAGAUGAAUUUAGAAUUAUAUCACAGCCCAUAUCCUUACUUAAGCUUUGAAUUGAAAUCAAAUUUUUUCUCAUUUCCGGUACACAUAAAGCAUUUUUUUUAAUUAAUAAACCAUUAUCAAUUUUUAAUUUAAUUGUUCCUAUAUGAGAAAUUUUUAAUUGUUUUCCAUUACUAAUAAUUAUAGAAAUCAUACCAUUUUAUUGUUGUGCAUCAUAGAAGUGAUUGAUUGACGGUGUCAUGUGAUGAGACGCUCCUGAAUCUAGGCACCACGUGUCAUCAACAACCUCAUUCAUAUCCAGAUUAGAUGAAGAAUCCACCAACGAUCCCGUAACAUAUGCAAAAUUUCCUCUUUCACUGCAUAAACGGGCAGAAUGCCCUGAUUUAUUACAAAUUUGACAAAUGAGUGAAGAAUUUACCAAUUGGGGUGGAGCUCCCCCAAACUGAGAUGAUGUAUACUGUCCACGACCACGAUCUCCAUAGCUUCCAUGAUUACUAUGGUUUCCAUAGCCUCUUCCACGAUUUCAACAAAAAUUAGAGCCACGAUUUCCACCAAAACCUCUUCCGUCUUUUCUGAAAAAUUUCUUAUUACUUUGGUAUUUUGGCCCUUGAUGUACUUCUACCGCAAAUGCCACGGCUUGUGAAGAAUUUGCAACAGAUGAUGUUGACACUUUCCUUCGACGAAUCCUGAUAUCUUCAGCAAUUAAUAGAUGAUAUAUAUCAUCAAAUUUCAUCCCUUUCUGAGCAUUUAUCGUUGUUCCAAAGGAAUUAAACUCAUCUGGCAACCCAUCUAAAAUAAAUCCCACUAUUUCACGAUCAGUUAUAUUUGAACCUGAUCCUAUGAGAUUGUCACACAUUGACCUGAUCUGCAAUAAAUAUUUUGGCAUUGGCGGGUUAUUCGUCCUUUUGAUUUCUCGAAGAUGAUCCCUAAUUGUUUUGGCGUACACCUCCAUCUGUGGAGACAAUUUUUCUUCUAAUUUUUUUCCAAACAACAGUUGCAAUUUCUUCAUUUGCCAGAAUUGGAUAGACAGCCGGUCCAAUUGAAGACUCGAUCCAUGAAAUCAAAAGCCAGUUCUUUCUUUGCCAUUUUGUAAAAUCUGGCGUCCCUAUUUUUGAAACUGCAGUAUUACUAUCGAUGAUGUCUUUAAGCCCAUAAAUUUGCAAAAGAUUCAUCAUCUGAGAUUUCCAGAACAGAUAGUUAUCACUGCUUUCCAACUGAUGCCUUAUGCAUCUUGAAGCGACUGACACAAUUUGAGCGUCUUAACCAACAAUAAUAUCUUCCAUCGCAAAAGUUCAACAACAACAAUCCAACAGUUCGAAAAAGAAACAAAAGAAACUUUUAAAAUAUUCUUAUUAAUUGAUUUCUUUAAUUUCUUUCCAAUCAAUGAAACUUCUUUCCAGCACUUCAAUUCAACGAGCAACACGUAAAUAAAAUCUGGACUUCAUACAGCAAUGGACUUGAUACAACAAUCUGCACGUAAGUGAUUUGCAGCACUUCGCGAUUCCAGCACUUCGCGUGCGAUUUGACAGCAAUGGACUCAAUCACGAUCAGCACAAUCACAAUCUGGGCAGUACGGCAGCAUAACGUGAUGUCAGCAUGAUCAAUGACUUGAUUUGCAGAAUCACAAUCACAAAUCUCGCGACGGCAGCACGAUCAGCGAGGGCGAUGUCCAAACGCGAAUGGAUCUGCAGACGCAAUUUCCAGACAUGCGAUCUGUGAAUGAUUUCCAGACACGGAUGCGAUUUCCAGCAGGAUUUGGAUGUGAUUUGGCUGCGUUCUGCGCAAAUUCGAAUCUGGGAAGAAAGAAGAAGAAAAACUAACCCAGCAAACGUAAUCCAGCAAACGCAAUCCAGCAGAAUAUGGGGAAAAAAAUCGAUCUGGGCUUGCGCUAUUCAGCAGCAGACGUUAUCCCUCUUUUCUUCAAUCAAUUUCUCCAGACGCAAUCCCUCUCCGGACUCUCUACAACUGAUACCAUCUAAGAGUCUAGAUCUAUUAAGCAUGUUAAUUCUCAAUGUAUUCAUUAUCAAAGAUAUUCUCUACUUAUAUACUACACUUAAACACUAAUAUUCAGUUAACUAAACUAUCACAACUAACAACAGAUUAAAACUAAUUUUUCUUUCAUUUUAUUCUUCUCAUAGCUGCUACCACCCCAAAGAAAGUGGUAAUGAAGCACAUUAGGUGUGUUCAACUUGACAAAGACAAUUACUACUCAUGUGUGAGGUCUAAUUUUCUGCAAUGUUGAGAGGGUUCAAACUCAUGGGGUACGUCGAGGGUAAGGUUGAGCUCGAUCACAUCGUCGGUGACAUGUCAACAGGAUCAGUUAAUUCUUACAGCAAUUACAGCACUGCACAUGUCUAAGGAAGCUCUGGCAUGGAUUCGCGGAUUACGCCGGAACAAUUUAAUCUCAACCUGGGCAAAGUUUACCGAGGACCUGAGCGAGCGAUUCGGGAGUUCCGCGUUCGAAGACAAGUUGGAAGAAUUGUCACGUUUACAAAAAACAGGCACGGUAGCGGCGUAUAUGGCACAAUUUGAGAGUUUAUUGAACGAUGUUGAGGGACAAUCGGAAGAAGCACUGAUCACAUUUUUCGUCGGAGGGCUGAAACCGGAAAUUAAAAAUCAAUUAAAAAUCGCGAGGCCGACGACGUUAAGGAAGGCGUUGGCGACAACAAAGGUUUACGAGGCAAACAAGGGGUCCAAGCCGUGGAAGAACUUUAUACCAAACAAUAAGUCAGAACCAUUACUUAAGAAUCCACCGGUGGGCGGACCAGCGGUUCCAAUUAUAAGACGGACGCUUACAAUUGAAGAAAGAAAGGAAAAAUCGGCCAAGGGCCUAUGUUUUAACUGUGACAAGAAUUAUUUUCCGGGCCACAGAUGCAAAGGGAAGAUGCUUAUGUUGAAUACAGAGAAGGAUUGCUUGGUGGAAGUGUUGGACAGGGAGGAAGGAACGGAAGCAACAUUGGGGGAGACGGGGGAGGACAUGGAAAUCAGUCUUCAUGCACUAUCGGAAUCGUAUAAUCCGCGAACUAUAAGAAUGACCGGUGCAAUUCGUGGCCAGAAGCUAACAAUGUUGAUCGACAGUGGGAGUACCCAUAAUUUCAUACAAAAGUCCGUCGCCCAUAAGCUGGGAGUAGCGCUGCAGGAGUUACCGGAAUUCCGGGUCUUCAUCGGCAGUGGCGACUACCUGAUAUGCCGGGAAGUUUGUCGUCAAGUCUUCGUAACAAUCCAGGAAGCAGUGAUUGUGCAAGAUCUUUUUGUACUAGUUAUGGAAGGGGCGAAUGUUGUUUUGGGGGUACAGUGGCUUCAAACUAUGGGAACUGUUAGAACAGAUUACAAAAAAUUAUCACUCGAAUUUGAGUGUGGGGAAAAAAUGAUAAAAUUACAAGGAGAUGGCCAGGUCACAGACGCAAUAGUGUCCAAUCGGGGACUCCGGCGAAUGGUAGCUCGCAAGGAGGUGGCUUAUUUUUGCCACUUAUCGGGUAACGUGGCAGACAAAACAGAAGCCGAUUUACCAGAAAUAGCUGAGGUGUUAAAAAAAUUUGAAACAACAUUUAGGGACCCAACGGAGUUACCACCAUCAAGGGAUACAGACCAUCAAAUCACAUUGAUCGCCGGGGCGCAACCGGUUAACGUGAACCCCUACAAAUAUCCACAUUUUCAAAAAAAUGAAAUAGAGAGGUUAACCCGCGAAAUGCUACAACAAGGAGUAAUACACCAGAGUAUCAGUCCAUUUUCAUCUCCGGUAUUGCUCGUAAGGAAGAAAGACGGCUCAUGGCGUUUUUGCGUCGAUUACCAGGCAUUAAACACGGUAACAGCGAAGGACAGGUUUCCUAUUCCCACGAUGGAUGAAUUAAUUGACGAGUUACAUGGAGCUCAGAUUUUCUCUAAACUCGACUUACGAGCGGGUUAUCACCAGAUUCGUGUACGAGAAGACGAUAUUCCAUUAACGGCAUUCAGAACCCACCAAGGACGUUACGAGUUCACUGUAAUGCCGUUUGGGUUAACAAACGCGCCGGCCACGUUCCAAGCAAUAAUGAACAGACUGUUUGCAGAGCACCUUAGGAAAUUCGUAGUCAUCUUCUUCGAUGACAUACUCAUUUACAGUCGAUCAACGGCCGAACACUUAACACAUUUGGAGAUGGUACUGAACAUUUUAAAUGCAAAUUCCCUAUUCGUAAGAAAAUCAAAAUGUUGCUUUGGAUUGACUGAAUUAGCAUAUUUGGGCCAUAUAAUCACAACUCGAGGAAUUCGACCCGACCCCGAGAAGGUGGCAGCCGUGGAAACAUGGCCAACGUCGGUAACCAUCAAGCAAGUGAGGGCAUUCUUGGGCUUAACAGGAUACUACCGGCGAUUCAUUAGCCGGUAUGCCCAGAUAGCGGCUCCGAUCAUAAACUUAUUACGGAAAAACAACUUCCGUUGGGAUUCAGAAGCAGAAAAAUCAUUUAAGGAAUUAAAACAGAUUUUAGUUACAGCUCCAGUGUUAAUCUACUCAAAUUUUAAAUUACCAUUCGUCCUGGAGACAGACGCUUGCGAGGUAGGAGUGGGAGCUGUAUUACUGCAGGAGGAACAUCAGUUGCAUAUUUCAGUAAGAAGCUAUCCGCGCUUCGACAACGGGCGUCUACAUAUGCGAAAGAAUUGUGGGCGAUUACGGAAUCAGUCAAGAGAUGGAGGCGCUACUUGCUUGGGGGAACUUUUACAAUUCAGACAGAUCACCAUUCAUUAAAGAACUUGUUAAAUCAGAUCAUACAAACCUCGGAACAGCAAUUUUUUUUGACAAAAUUGUUGGGUUAUUCAUACGAUAUCAUAUACCGACGAGGGAAAGACAAUAUAGCAGCCGACGCCUUGUCAAGACUGCCGGCGGAAAACUCGGAACUCUCAUCAGAAGAAAGUCAAUUAAAUACAUUGGGGUGCGAACCGAUAUCGGAGUGGGUACAAAAAGUGCAAGAAGAAAACGAAAAAGACGAAUGGAUCGGGGAAAUAAAAAAACAAAUGAACGAGCAAGGGGCGAAGUACAGGAAGGACUUUUAAUGUUCAAGCAACGUUAUUGCAUUGGUCCAACUUCGAAUUUCAGAGCCGAAAUUUUGGAAGAGCUGUACGGUACCAGACAGGGAGGCCACUCCGGGUACUUCCAGACAUUAUACCGAGUGCGGCAGCAGUUCUACUGGCCCGGCAUGACAUAAUAAGUAAAGAAGUUCGUUGCGGAGUGUCUCACGUGCCAACAAAUUAAGAUUCCUCCAGAGUAGCCGUUGAGUCUCCUACACCCCCUCAAUGUUUCGAUAGCUAUUUGGGAAGAAAUCAAUGUUGAUUUUAUCACCGGCCUGCCCCCAAUCCACGACCACUCAGUAAUCGUGGUUGUAGUGGAUCGUUUUUCAUAGUAUUGCCACGUUGGGAGCCUGCCAGAGGCCUACUCAGCCAAAUCAGUCGCCACCUUCUUUACAACAGACAUUGUACGCCUCCACGACAUUCCAAAAAAAAAAGUCUCCGACAGAGAUAAGGUCUUUCUGAGUAGAUUCUGGCAGGAGUUACUCAAGCAAAGCGGAACCUUUAUUCACAUGUCAUCAGCGUAUCAUCCUCAAAUGGACGGACAAACCGAAAUCGUAAAUAAAACAAUUGAAGGAUAUUUGAGAGCGACUGUACAGGACAAUCCUCGUAGUUGGAGGGAGCUGUUACCGUGGGCGGAGCUGUGGUAUGACACAACGUUUCAUCACAGCUUGGGUACGACGCCUUUUGAGAUCGUUUAUGGCCGACCACUACCAAGCUUAGCACCAUAUCGACCAGGAGAUUCCAGAGUCGAGGCGGUAGACCAGGAGUUGCGUCGACGCCAGCAAAUACUUAAAGAAUUAAAAACCCGAUUGAUAAGCGCACAGGACCGGAUGGAAAAAGGAAGAACUGGGAAUUUCAGGAAGGCGAUUUUGUCUGGUUAAAGUUAAAACCAUACCGACAAAAUUCGGUUGAGAAUCGGAGUUAUACAAAGCUGAGUAAAAGAUAUUAUGGGCCGUACAAAAUUAUAAAGAAAAUUAAAAGAUAUUAUGAAUCGUUUGGAACUACCGGCAACCAGUAGCAUAUUUCCGGUCUUUCACAUUUCUCUUCUUAAACCGUUCGUGGGAAACAGGGACGAUGGACAACAGUUGGCGUUGCCACCAAAAGCUUGGGACUCACAUCCGAUUAUAGUACCCACAAUAAUUUCAGGAUAUCGAAUUGUCAAGCGUAAAGGCAAGAGAGUAGAGCAAGUUUUAAUCGUCUAGAAGGGAUUACCAGAGCAGGAGUAAACUUGAAAAGAUCUAAAAUGGGUCGCAUAUUUGAACUCCAACUCGAACUUUGAGGACAAAGUUCGUCUGGCAGGGGAAGGUGAUGUAACAAUGCAAAUAGACCAAGUGGAGGCAGAACGCGUACUGGAGACAGAACUCGGUUGCGCAGCGGAGGAAACAGAACCCAUCAACCCACCGGAAGACUCCAGUCCCGGUCGACCCACAAGGAAUAAACAAUCAACUCGCCAAGCCGAUUACGAGUACACGUAAUCGAUCAUUAGAAAAUAGGCAGAGCAGUUAGAGAUCUGUUAUAAACAGAUAGUUGUUAAACCCAAUACGAAAUGUAUAUAAACUGAUCGUCAUUGCAAUAAUAAUCAUUGAAAAGUUUUGAGUAUAACUCCUUCGAAUACUUCCCCCUCAGGAUCCUUAGGGAUCAUUCGUCUUCUCCCUCCGGCCCUUCGGGGAACCGAUUCUCUGGCCAGACGGCCAAUACGGACGUUCCGAUUGACGAAUCCAGUUCCACAGGGGUUCGUCGUCACAGGUUCGAACUCAUGGGGUACGUCGAGAGUAAGGUUGAGCUCGAUCACAUCGUCGGCGACAUGUCAAUAGGAUCAGUUAAUUCUUAGUUGGAUUCUGACGGAUAUAAUGUCGUCUAUAUAUACUUUCUCAGGUCGUUUCUUACAAGACUUAAUUCGGCUACGAUUUGGUCAUAUAUAUAUCUAAAGAAGAUGUAUGCAUCGAGCACUCAAGCAAGACAGUUAAAUCUAAUAUUUCAAUUGCAGACGGUAAAGAAAGGAGGGCUGCCAAUGGGAGAGUUCAUCACAAAAGUAUCGGGUUUAAAAGAUUCUUUGAAAGGUACAUGUGAAUUGUUGAAGGAUGCAGAAGUGAUUUUAAUAACAUUGGGGACACUCGGUAAGGAAUAACAAACAUAAGAACUUUUGCAACCUUGUGUGAUAGCUUCUCAUGGAUUACAAAAUCAGAGUUCAAAAUUCAAGAAGUCCAACGACGGUUAACGUCGCAACCAGAUCUUAUGCCAAGGGCGGGGAGGAUAUGUUAGGUUAGGUGUCAAAUUGUUACAAUAUGUUAAACAUCAAGAAAUUUAAACCUACCAUAAUCAUGAACUUGUAGACGGACCAAAUGGAAGCAAUCGAACCUCACCGCAUACAACGAAUGUUGCCAGAAGCGGACCGAUGACGGUCUGGUUCCCGUAUAAUGGAGCUACGUCGCACAACACCGCUUUUACAGAUAACAUUCAGACACCAAAGUAAUUUAGAGGUAAUGAUUUUAUUUUAACAUAAUGAUUUCAAUUCUGUUAAAAUCUCUAAAAUAAAUGUCUCACAAGCUUCGUCUACUUUUUCAUGACCAGAAUUCAAAAGAUCGUAAAAUAUUUAGACUAUGUUACGAUUCCAUUUAAUACAAAAGAGGUAAACCAACAACUGGAGAAGGAUUUAAUAGAUGACGGGGAUGAAGAAGACUCGGAGGAAGAAGCAUCCAGCAACACGGCGGGACGAGGCAAGCGUAACAUAAUUAAGAAGCAUGACUCAAGAUUUGUUUACUACCAGCUAUAACUAAUCUGUUAGUUGUUGUAAUACAGAAUGGUAUAAAUAAAUGAAUAGGAUGACUGGAUAAGCAUUCAGUAAAUUGAACACAUUUAAUCUUCUUCCCCUCGGCUCCACUUAGAGAUCUCUUCCCUCUCUUCCUCCGGCCCCUCGUGGGAAUCUCUGCUUUCCUUCCUACUUGGAUCGAUUCGAUCCCUUCUCUAGGACGCACCACGAGCUCACCGUUCGUCAGGAACCAGGUCGUUUCAGACUACAACAUUUGGUUCUUCAUCAUGCAAAAUCAAAUGACCUAUUUUCAUCGUAGACUAUGUCAACAAAUAGAUUAGUAUUCUUGACCAUUUCAACAUAUUUCAAUUCGUGUAGUUGUUAAAUUUCAAGACGUGGUUAAUUUCUUCUUUGGUUCACCAUAUUUAUUCCAAUUCGUGUAGCCACUCAUGAAAUAACCGAAUCUUUAAAAAUGAACUCACAUUGUAUCUUAAUCUUCCUUACUCAAGAAACAACAUUUAUAUUGACCACAAAGAUAUUUAAUUUGUCUUCUUUCACCAAUUGUUGAACAUCCACGUGUCAUCCACGUGGAGUCAAAAAAUCAUUAACGAGAUUAACAAAUGUUAGUAGUUGUUAAGUCUAAUAAGUUGUUAUGUUAGUUAGUAUAGUUGUUAUUAGUUAUUUAGUCAUGUAUAAGUAUGGAUGGUUAGUGAGUAACAUGGUAAUUUGAUUUUAGAUAUCGAUUCUAAAGUUCCUAUAUGGCAUCAGAUGAUAUAUAUCAUCGAUUUGAUGGUUGUUCAGCCACUUUCCGUUGCUAAUCUUGGUCACACUUCGACCAAUGGGGGGGGGGGGGUUCUAACCUUCGACAAUGAAGGUAGUCAAGAAAUCAAUUAGAUGCAUUCUUUGUCAAACACUAUGUUAGAGUGUAUGUGUAAUUGUUACUUUAGUGAUGUUAAUUAGCUAAUUAAUAUCUUGAUCUUAAGCCAAGAUUGAUUAGUUAGUAUUUGAUUACUAUAAGUACUUUAGUCAUUAAAACUGUAUGAUUACUUUUUUGGUUAAUACAAUUUGCUUGAUCAUUUGAUUGCUCAAUUACUUCGUACUCGAGUCUAGUCAAGUUUAGACAUUCUCCUCGACAAAAGAAAUUACUUCUUCUGGGAGGAGCAAUUUUCUACCAUGCUGCGCAGGUUUCGACUUAUGAGUUACGUUGAGAGAAAAUCGAGCUUUCGUCCCCAAGAUCAGCUAAUCUUAAGUUGAAUCUUGACAGGAAUAUCCACCACUAUUCUGUUGCAGGUUGCAUCUUAUAGAACAUCCACCGACAUUUGGGAUUGUCUAUGUCGUCUCUUCGCUCUAGGAACACAAACUCAGAUUCUUCACAUCCAGUUACAGCUUCAGACAGUGAGAAAAGAUGGAAUGACAAAGGAUGAAUAUAUCUCUAAAAUCUCAAUAUUGAAGGACGCCUUGGCGGCCACUGAGAGAAAAUGAAAGAAACCGAAAUAAUACUAAUUACUCUUGACGGAUUAGGGAAAGACUAUGAUUCUUUUCACUUUGAUUACAACAAGAACGGACCCUAAUUUGAUAUUUUUUGAAUCGUCUAAGGUCUUGUUAGAUCAAGAAAUGAGAAUGGAAAAGAAGAGGUCCUUUAGCUUUCCAGUCAUGAACAUUGUAACAAUAUCGACGACCGGCAUAUCGUAGAUCAAGUGUUAAAUUUGUUCACGUAGGGGUCAUAGUAUGGCGUAUUGUUACAAUCGCUUGAAUCUCAUAUGUACACUUUUUGGCAUCUCACGGACGAACACUAUCAUCAUCAGGUCCUAAUGGGAGCAAUCAGGAAAAAGGAUCGGCUGAUGUGAUGACUUCUUCAUCAGGCAAAGCGACAGUGUGGUACCUCGAUUCUGGGGCCACAUCCCACAUCACCGCCACACCUGAAAAUAUACAACUACCUCGUUCUUUUACCGAUAAUAAUUUCAUCUAUACCGCUGAUGGGAGUCCAAUACAAAUUACUCGGUCAAGUCGCAGUAUGACUCAAUCGAAAGAUCAAUCAUUUAUACUUCAAGAUUUACUUCUUGUGCCAUCGACAACAAGAAAUCUUUUAUCUGUUAAUUGCUUUUGUAUUGAUAACAAUGUUUCUCUUCACUUUGAUUCGCAGAAGGUACAGGUACAUGAUACGACUACUGAGGAAGUCUUGCUGGAAGGAAGGACUAAUGGGGGUUGGUUGUAUGAACUACCGUUAAAGAUUGGAAAAACUGAGACUGUUAAUAUUUGUGAAAAAUUACCACACCAUCUCUGCUAUUCACGUCUUAGGCAUCUUAAUUCUUCAUAUAUGUCAACUCUUAUUAAAAAUGGUGUAAUAAAUUCAAAUAUUAAAACUUUCGAUUUAUGUGAUUCGUGUCAAGUCGGACUCAUACUCUUCCCCACCUUACUCGCAAGUCUUCCUACAGGCCACUUGCCCUGAUAUUUUCUGAUAUUUGGAGACCAGCCCAUGUCAACUCAAUUGAAGGUUACGUGUAUUAUAUCAAUUUUGUAAAUGCCAAUAGCAAUUUCAAUUGGGUAUAUCCGAUCACUCGCAAGAGCGACAUAUAUCAGAAUUUUGAAAAGUUUAAAGUUUUGAUCGAAAGACAAUGCGGAACGAAGAUACUAGCAAUUGAAACAGAUAAUGCCAAUUAGGAAUAUCAAAAACUCGGAAAACACUUGGCUGAACUUGGUAUUUCUCAAAGGAUGGUUGCUCUAUACUCACAUCAACAAAUGGGGGUUGGUUGAAUGGAGACACAGACACCUGGUGGAUACCACGAUUGCUCUACUUCAACACACACAUCUUCCUAAAAUUUUCUGGAGUUACAGAGUCUUAACUGCUUGUUAUUUAUAUACCAGAAAUACGACUCUCCUACUAGUCGGAAAAUCACCUCUAGAAGUAUUAUUUAAGAGGUCGCCGGAGUACAGAAAACUAAGGGCGCAUCUUCUUGGGAUACUCUAUGUCACAAGAAUGUUAUCUUUGCUAUGAACCGUGAAUCGAAGAAUUUUCGCGUCAAGAGAUGUUUUCAAUGAGUAAGAUUUUUCGUUGAAUAAAGCAUUCUUUAGGGACCAAGGCGAAAAAGAUGGUUAAACUUUAGCGACCAAUUUGGAGAUAGUAGUAUCAACGGAUCUUGCCAUUUAACUAAGUCAAAAUUAAUCACAAUAGAGGCGGUACAAGUUAUAACCAAAUCAACAACAUCAGGUGAUAUUAUUGAACCAACUAAUAGUCCGAUUGAGACAUCCCCGAAUCCGAAUACAUUUAGGGAUGGACAUUGGUUGAGUAUGACUCUACUGAACCAAUCGACCAGAUCAAUCUUUGGAUGAAUAUUCAUUAGGUUUGAGUAAGUUUGUAAAUGGUAUUACGGAAUCCGUAUUUGAAUCCGCAUUCAAAUUCGAAUAUGACUAUCCGGAUUCGGAUACAUGAAUUGAAAUUCGAAUUUUAUUCGGUCGGAUUUGGAUAUCCGGAAAAUCCGAAUUCGUUUAAAAAUUUCGGAUUCGGAUAUCCGGAUAAAUAUAUAAUAAAUUAAUAUUAUUAUAUUAUAUAUUUAUAUUAUAAAUCAUUAAACACUUAAAUCUCAAACCUAAUUACCUAAGUUAUAAUUAUAAAUUUUUAUAACUUAUUAAUUUAUAAUUAUUAAAUCCUAACUCUAACACUAACACUAAUCCUAAAGUUAUCCGGAUUUUAUUCGGUCGGAUUCGGAUAUCCGGAUAUAUGCAUAUCCGAUCCGAAUUCGACUGAUAUACAGAAUUAGGUUUGAGUUUUAUUUUUAUGGGUUUAUUUGUAAUUGUAAAAAUAUUUAUGGAUUUAUUUAUUUUCAAGGUCUUAUUUAUAAUUUAAAAUAUAUUUUAGUAUUUUUUUGAAAAAACCCUUCAACUUUCGAUAUUCAUUGGAUCAAAAUAAAUACUUUAAUAUCCGAAUUAACCCAUACGGGGAUUUUUGCUCGGGUUUAGGUUCAUGCAAAAAAUUAUGCCCAUAUCUAAUCAGAUCACUUCGCUUCGGGUAUCACCCGUCGGUAUAUACAACCGGUCAGUCAACUGCGUUGUUAUAUUUCUAAGAGAAGUUUCGCUGCAGUUUGGGGGAAAUGACGACGGUUACGGUGAAAGGGGAAGAAGAAGGAGAGGAAAAACCUCAAUUCUCAUCGACAACCAGUAAGUUUUCCUCACAUUAUCUUCAUAAAAUUGAUGAUCGACUUCGAUCUCUUUCUCUUUCCCUACAAGAUUUUGCAAAUACAAGCGCGCGCUAUAUUGAAAUUGUAUGGAAAUAUUGUUUCAUUGCAACAGAUUGAUUUAGUAACGAAAUGAAUACUUUUCCUACUCGUGUGCUAACUGAACGAGUAGAAUUCCAUUCGCAAAUAUAUUAAAGAAUUUAAAGUAAACAUGAGUUGCCCUGAAUUUGUACACUAUUUUAGUCGUAUUUUUAUUCUUAAAAUCACUCGAUUAUUCUUAAAUAAUAUUCUUGGUGUAGAAAACUAUAUUUAUGCUCAUUAACAAGUCAUUUUAGUGGGCACUUUAAGUAGAAUUCACUUACAUCACAUUCUUAUAUUUUUUUUUUUGAAAGCAAUUGACAUUCUUAUACUUGUCAAGAUAUAUUCUUAGUUCUUACUAAACAAAGCUAAUUACUGCAGACAUUUGAAUUUUUAUGCCAUUAUAUAUUUAUAUCGCAUUUGAUUGAUUUAAGGCAUUAAAUCUAACAGAGGAAACACAACAUAGACAUUAAUUUUAAUGUCACCUAAGCUCUUCCUUCGUAGAGGAAAUUUAUCCAUGGCCCCUUGCCUAUGUUGUGUUUUCUUUAUUAAAAUUGACCGAUUAACUCAAAAGGAAGAGCUUAAGUAACAUUGUAACAUUAAGAGUUUAUAUGAAGUCAUAAGUUUUAUUCCCAACGAGUACCUAUGCAUUUUGAAUUUCUUUGAUAAAAUUUAGAUAUGUGUGUCACAAAGAGGUUUAUUCUUUUUGCCGGUAUCACAAUUUAAUUUAAUCACACUUUCGGUUUAAAUUAAGAUUUCUUUUAUGUUUUUUUGCAGCAAUGGUUAUGAAAUUAAAUGAUUGAUUGUGUUCGGCGGUUCACUAUUUUUUUUCCUGAAAAUUCGAUAUGUCUACUAAGAUUUUCCCCCUAAAUUUUAUUAAAAAAUAAAAACCAUUAAUAGUGAUUUAGAGAACAAUCUAUUUACCUUUUACCAAAAAAAUAUUUACAGAACUAUAGUUCCUCACUUAUUCAUUUCCUUUUAAGUGUGAUUCCGUAUGGUCCUAUACUCACAUCAAUGUAUAAAUGAACACACAGAAAAUAUUCAGUGUAGUGAUGCCUCUCCAAUAUUUUGUGAGCCUUCAUACUAUCCACAGUUUUGUGAAAUGGCUGGUUAUUUCAUAACUCAUUAGUACAUUACCCAACGAUAUGGUAAAUGAUUAAAAGGCCUCAAAUAACUAGUUAAAUUAAUAUCUUAUCUUUUCAUAGAAGUCUAUGUCAUUUUGUUGGUUAAUACUAAACCAUAACUUUAUUAACAAUUUUGUAUGCAGUUACAAUUUCUUCUUUGACGCUCAAUAUAAAUCAUCAUGUACUGUUUAUGAUUUUAAGUUAAUAUUUAUAUAUUUUACAUUUAUAUGCUUCAGGGACCAAUAUUUUUAAUGACAAUAUCUUGUCAAUCCCAAUUCAUGUUGUUAAUCACGCAUCUCAACUUCCUCGUGAAUUUGUGGAACCCUCAUCUGAAAGGAAGCUGGUGAUUGGUUUUGACUGUGAGGGAGUUGAUCUUUGCAGAAGUGGAACUCUCUGCAUCAUGCAGGUAUUAUUAGUCUAAUUUUAAAUUUUUCAUAGAAUAUCAUGCAGGAAUAUUUACUAAUUAGCCCAUAGAAUAUUAUUAAUUCUAGCAUAUCACUAAUAGUUUAUUAGUUAGAAUCAUUAUUUUUAUAUGCUUUAUUUUAUUGUCAUGGAUUUGGUAGUGGAAUAGUGGGGAUUGGUUAUUGUUGAGGUGGUUUUUCGAGAGUAGUUGCUCGACAACUUGAAGUUCAGGGUCGAUAAUUUCUAGGAUUAGAAUCGCGCUAUUCCCGUUCUUUUCCUACUGCUCUGACGUUUUUUGUCAGAAUGUGGACCCUCUAAAUGAGGGACCCUGGUCCUAUUAAAGGAUUUCAUGGGGAUAAAUCUUGUAAUAAUGAGAACCGGGCGGUUAGUAAUCGUCGACUGAUUUCUCUAUCGACGAGUUCAUUCUAUAGUCGAUCACUAGUUGGCGCCUAGACUCGACGAGGGUUGUACCUCGACGACUCUGUCUUUUGGGCGUGCCUGGGACGAGAACCUGAUGUCACCACUGGAGAUGGUGAUAGGGAUAUGAAGAAGUUCAGAUCUAUAGGCUGGGGAAUACUGUGAUGGAACCAUAGUUUUAAAUAACAAAAAGCGCUCCCAAUUUCCAGGGAGCGCUUUUUUUAGCUUUGAGCGCUUUAGCACGCUUAAAGCUAAAAAAGCGAUAGUGGCAAUUUUGUAAAUAUAUACAAUUUUUUUAAAAAAAUCUAUAUAUACCCCUGUAUAUAAUUUUUUAUAUACAAGAUUCUUAUUCUCUUUACUUGUAAGUUACAGCCCCUGUAUGGCUGUAUACAGGCUGUAAUUUUUUAUAUACCCCUGUAUAUAAUUUACAGGCUUUAAGUUACAGCCUGUAACCCAUGAGAUUCUUAUUCUUUCUUGUACAGGUUGUAAGUUGUAACCCUUGUAAGCCUGUAACCCCUGUACCUGUAUAUCUUUACUUGUACGUACAUACGUACGUGUAAAGAAUAAAGAUGUAUGUUGCUGUCCUGCUGCGGUUCUCCACUUCAAUUACUACUAUUAUUAUUCUCUCCCCCCUCUUUUCUUAUUAGUGAUAUGAUACAUAUAUAUGAUAUGGUACAUAUAUAUGAUAUGGUACAUAUAUAUGAUAUGGUAUGUAUGAUAUGAUACGAUACUACUUAGUGGUAUGAUAUAUGUUACUGUAGUAUUAAGUUGUAUAUAUAUGAUACUCAUUGUGAAUGAAAAGGGAUCGAGUAUCUCUCCCACUUAUUUACAUCUCUUAUAUGGUAUCAGUUUGUUAGAAAGAGAGCUUCCUCGAUCCUGGAUUUUCUCCUCAACAGUCCUUCAUUUUCUUGAAUUCCGCUGCAAUGGAGGACGGCAUUGUUGAUAGGAGUGGAGUCGCAAAUUCAGAUGCUUCCAAGAUAGUUUUCAUCAAGCAUCUGAAGACUGUGACGCUGGACCGCUCAAACUACUUUGCUUGGCGCACACAAUUCGUCGUCAUCUUGCGAGGACAUGAGCUGCUGGAUUUGAUCCAAGGAUGGCUAAUUAUAUGUAUCAUAUCACUAAUUUUUUCAGAUUCAAGCUCUAGAGAUGAGUUCUCAAUUUCAAAAUCAGUAAAAUUAACUGAUUAUGAGAGGCGACCCUUCACUAGAGGAGCUGCAGGGAUUAAGAAGCCUAAUCCUAGGUAUGCACUGUCUAUAUUAGCUUCUGAAAUUUCAGUUUCAUCUUCAGUCAAGCAAGCUUUGGAGAAUGAAGGAUGGAAAUCAGCUAUGAAGAAAGAAUAUGAUGCGCUCGUUAAUAAUGGUACAUGGGAGUUGGUACCAAGGAUGCUAACAGACAAUGUGAUUAAUUCUAUAUGGCUGCUUAAAGUCAAAGAAAAAUCAGAUGGCAGUGUGGACAGUUUGAAGGCAAGGCUAGUGGCAAAUGGGAGUGAUCAGAUUGAAGGCAGAGAUUACAAUGAGACAUUCAGUCCAGUUGUAAAAUCUGUAUCUAUUUGUGCAGUAUUAACUAUUGCAGUCUCAAGAGGUUGGAAACUUAAUCAAAUUGACAUAGGUAAUGCAUUUUUACAUGGUCAAUUGGAAGAGAGGAUUUUAAUGCGUCAACCUAGAGGCUUUAUGGAUGAACCAUGUCCAAAUCACGUCUGCCUAUUUAAGAAAGCUAUCUAUGGUCUCAAACAAUCUUCAAGGAUGUAGUUUCACAGACUAAAAAUGGUGUUGAAUUUAAUGGGUUUUAUACCAAGCCAAUCUGAUCCUUCAUUGUUUGUGCACUUAGGUGAAUAUAUGAUGUAGAAUAUCAUACAUGGGCUCCUGGCCCAUCUCCAUUAUAGAAGGCCCAUUAUUGAAAGAGAAUAUAAAUAGAGGCAAGCCUGGAAGGAUCGACAGUUUUUGAUUCAAUGGCAUUGUUAAGGUUUUAACCUUUUAUUCUUCCUCUCUAACCUUUGAUUCAAUGGCAUUGUGCAACACAUACCGAAUGUUCUACAACAAGCAGAUAUUCUCACUAAAGCAUUGAAGCCCAAACUCUUCAAAGAUCUCAAGGACAAGCUGAUUUGUUCACAUCAUCAGACUUGAGGGGGGAGUAUUAGUGAUAUGAUACAUAUAUAUCAUAUCAUAUCAUAUCAUAUCAUAUCGUAUCAUAUAUAUGUAUGAUAUGAUAUCAUAUCUAUAUAUGAUACGAUACGAUGCUACUUAGUGAUAUGAUAUAUGUUAUUGUAAUAUUAAGUUGUAUAUAUAUGAUACUCAUUGUGAAUGAAAAGGGAUCGAGUAUCUCUCCCACUUAUUUACAUCUCUUAUAUCUCUCUCUCUAUCCAUCCAUCUAACUUUAGUUCUCCAUCUCCAGAUCUUUGAAUCUUUUCACGACCACGACCACCACCGAAUUGGGUCUGUCACUGCCUCUUGAGAUGUUAAAGUCUGUUGGGUUUCUAUGACAGAUGGGGAAGAUAGACGAUGGUGGAGGUUUCUACGACAGAUUUCUUUGAAUCUGGAGAUUUCAGUGGCUAAUUACGUCAUGACCUGACCCACUUACCCACCUAAAAAAAGCGAUUCGGAAAGCGCUGCUGGGGGAGCGUUUUUCCGCUUUAAAAACUAUGGUAAUAAGUGCUUUCCAUCUUACUGUAUCAAAUGUCUUCCUUAGGUCAGUGCUUAUUAUACACAAUCUCUUUUUUUUUUUUUUUUUUUGAUGUCAUUCAAAACCUCCUUAAGAACAGUUUCUGAUGGUCUGAGAGAAUGUUGCUGCCAUCUUCUGUUUUUUUCAGCCAAUAUGUGUCAACACAAGGCUCCAAUCAUAUUCCAUAAUAGGCCCCAAAUUUGAGAGUGAUGUGUUAGCUUUUGAAAUGCCUCAAUUAGGUCUCUUAUUUUGAUGUUUGGGUAUGUGGUGGUGGGUGUCGGGAUGUUCAUGAUUUUUCAGAUAAUAUUGUUUAAUUUUUCAACUAGGGGUAGAAAGAUGGAUCUAGAGUAGUUGCAGUCAAGGUUCCGGGUGCGCGCGCAUAUGCGCAGGUGUGACCCUACUGGGAGAUGCGCCCGACGCAUCUCCCUUAGCGAUACAGGCAUUUUUUAAGUUAUUUAAAUAACUUAAAACAAUGUUUUGUUUUUAUUAAAAAAAAAGGCUAAUUUAUUUAUUUAUUUAUUUUAAGACCUUAUAAAUUUUUAUGCCAAAAAUUUAUACAUUGGUCUAUGAAAAGAGCUAUAUUAUUUUUAAUAUAAGCUCCUCCCACUCUUAAGACUUCAUAUUUAUUUUAGACAAAAUGAAUCUUUAUUUAUAGACCAACCUUCUUUGUGUUUUUUGAAUUCUAUCGAUGUGGGACUAAAAAAGUGUAGUUAAAUAAAUUAUUAUUAUAGAGUAUUUUUGAUGUUAUAAAUGUAUUAAAAAAGGCCCAGCCCAUUACGUUAUUAUAUUUUUAAAGCCUCUUGGGUUAUUUAUUAUUUUCAUUUUAUAAAAGUCUCUCUUUUAUAAGUUUAAAGAAACCCUAGCCAUUUAAAGAGCUAUAUUAUUCAAGGUUCCGGAUGCGCCUCUGCGCGAUGCGCCGCCACCUGGAGCAUAGUUAUCAAUUAUCAAAAUACUUGAAGUCUUUAAAUAGUUUGAAACACAUAGAAUAGUUCACUUUAACUCUUGAAUUUCAAAUACAUAAUAGGAUCAAAUACAUCUAUAGUUCAUCCGUUGACCUCCUCAGCCGUUUAUAGAACAGAUGAUCGGGAUCUGUAGGACCAGCUUCAGCUUGGGGUACACCCUCAUCUUCAUUCUCUUGAAGAUCUUCGACUUCAUAGUCGUUAUGACGAACUUGACUAGUAAAUGGUCUAGAUUGACCACUCCUAGUCGAUGGACCUGGGUGCUCAGUUGCUCCAGCUGCCGUCUUCACGUCGGCCCAAGUGAGACCUUCUUCAGUAUACACCCACUCAUUGCAUGGUCCAUCAAUACCAGUGACCCAUUCACUCAUCAAGUUGAACUCGUUAACGUGAAUAGCAUCAUACUUUUUGGAGCCGCUUUCAAUCAAUAACUUCUUUGUUUUGAACCUCUCUGUCAACUUCAUAUUGUAGUUGAUGUAAACGAGGUUAUCUAACCGGGCAACGCCCAAGCGAUUCCUUAACUUGGUAUGGAACUGUAAAUGAGAUUUCAUAUUAGAUAGUUAAAUCAUAUGAAAUAAAUAAUCGAACAUGUAAAGAACUUACAUGUGCGAAAGUACUCCAAUUCCUUUCACAGCUUGAAGCUGAGCAACACAGACUUAAGAUUCUUGUCGCAAUUUGCGUUAACUCCACUGUUCUGGUCCCAAAUAAUUCCCACCAUCGUAGUGGAUGCAUAGUAUCAGCCAUCUUCAUCGCUACAUUUCCUCCAAACUUUCCUUCUCUAUUGUUGUACAAGGUCAUGUCAGAAAAUAUUGCGAUCGUUUUUGAAUCGUCGUUACCAACCAUUUUUUCAACACAUUGAGUGAAUGCGUCCUCAUACUCCAUGGAUUGAGCAAUUGUUGCAGGAUCACUGUAGUUGGAAAAAAUAGAUUUAAUCAUCAAAUCUUAAAUUCAUUCAUGAAGUAGAAAAGUUGAAUUGAAUAAUACCUUUUCAACUUGUAGAAGAAAUGUGGAUUUAGGUAAAAUGCAGCCCUUAUUAGAGGAGAUUUGUAAUGCUUUCCCCACCGUUUGUCCAUAAGAGUAUGGAUCGGAAGAUACAAACUCGAAUCCCCUUCAAAGUUGUUCUUUAUAGCUUUUUUUGCCUCUAAGAAGGCUCCUUCGAGGUAAGCUAACAGGUUGUGUAACCUUGCCUUGCUGUUUUUCAGCGAAUGCGGCAUACUUCCAAGUCGGAUCGUCCCAAUUAGAAGGUCGGUUGCUUUUCAAAUCCAAAUACAAAUUUUCGUCAAUCGUCGGGUCAUAGAUACUAAUAUCUAUCUCUUCCGGCGGAUUUGUAGUUGAAUUAAUUUGCACUUCAUCUUCUACUCCCAUAUCAUUGUCAUUAGGUACAUAAUCUUCAUCAUGAAUAUCAUAACUAUCAUCCAUUAUGAAAACUUGAAAACCCUAAGAAAAUAACAAAUUAAUUAAAAAUACCAUAGAUUUCUUAAUCUAGAAUUCUACAUUAUGAAAGAUUUUAAAAAACAAUGUGAGAUUUUAAAAAAAAAAUCACUGUUUUUUAUUUUUUUACCUUUUUUUGACUUUUUUUUUCCCUCCAAAUUUCUUCGCCGGAAUCUCGCCGGAGCUUCGCCUGAGGAACGCCAAAAAAAUCGGGAGGAGAUCUGGCCGGAGUUGGGAGGAAUGGGGAAGACAAGGAUAAACCCUAGAGAGGGGUUUGCGUUUUCAUUUCUAAUAAAAUCUAAAAACAGUAAAUGUUGUUACUGUUUUAAGUUAUUAAAUGUAAUUGGGAAAAUUGCAAUUUUUCCCAAUUACUGUUUUAAAUCUUUAAAACAGAUUAUAAUUAUUUUAAAAAGCCGGAUCCGGGUAGGAUCCGACCCGGAUCCGGCUAAGGGAGAUGCGCCGGGCGCAUCUCCCUUCCGGGUCGCCCUUCAUGCGCGCAUAUGCGCGCGCACCCGGAACCUUGGUUGUCGCCCUUUGGAGACAUCUACAAUGGAAGUAUGGGAGACCAACUCAUGAGGCAGCGUGUCUAGUUAUAUAGUUACUAUAUAACUAGACUACAUAGCUAAUGGAAGAGAGUCAAUGGGUUUUUUGCUCAUUUCUUUUUACUUCUAUUUAUAUUUCUAAUUUCUCUAUGUAUGGGCGUUUCCCUUCAUUUUCUAUGAACAAAUUUAAUUGCUUUUAAAAAAGAUGGUAUAAUCUGCGAAAAUGGCCCAAUCUGAGUUGGUGCAUUUUGAGACUUAGUUUUCUGUUGAGAUUUAAGAGAGACUAAUUUUCCAAUCAAUGUAAGCUUAACCAUGAUAAACUCACCAAAAUCAUAUAUCAAUGGUAGAAAAAAAUAAAGAAUUAUGGAUAUCAUUCAUUGGAGAUGGGUUUCUUUCUCUCAUCACUUUAGAAAUUAGAAUGUUUUUUCUAUUGCUAAAUUUAAAACUAGCUUAUGUCAUUUAAUUUGGUUAUUUUGUUCAAAUCGCUAUAAUCUUGUGAUGGCCAUUUGACUUUGAGGAUGGUAUUUCAGUUAUGCUGUGAUCUCAGGCGCUUCUCUAGCUGACAAGAUCUGUUACAAUCCUGUAAAUCUACUCUUAGUCUUCUACAAGAUAUGAUGUUUUGCACUCCAUAGUCGUUAUAUAUUAGAAUGAAUAACCAUGAUUUUAUACCAAGAGAUCAAAUAUCCUGCUCGUUCCAUCUCUACAUAUAUGAUUCUAUUUUCAUUCAAUUGAGUGCAGUGAUGUUCUAAUUUUAUUCACUUUUUUUUAUACAUAAAAAUCAUUAUUUAUCUUCUCCCACUAACAGCCACCUCCAUGCCUACCAAAUUUAUCAUCAUCUGAUAAUGUAGAUAUUUUGAAAUCACUGAGACUGGGAAAAUAUUCAAAGGUAAAGAGUUUUUCUUAAACAGAAACUGACAUUUUUUAUGGAUAAUUGGAUAUAGUCCGACCUGUUGAUCUCUCUGUGUAUAUUGUUCCCAUUCUAGUGGUUUAAUGAUGUACAAUGUUCCGAUAUCUCUAGAAAGUGUGAUGUUGCUCUGGAUUUGCUUUCAACAGCACAUGGAUGUCAAGUAAUCUCUGGCAUCUUUAAUUUCAAUAAAUUAAUAUACUGUAUUGCAUGCACACAUAUUGAUGACUUUCUUCUUUUGAUUUCAUUUUAAAAUAGUGAUACUUUUGUUUCUCUUGUAUUUUUUUGUCAAGAUUGAAGAAAUUAUAUUGCCUGAGCUGAAGGAGGUGUCAACAGCACAUGUGGUUUCUGUUGCAUGUGAAUAUGCUUGUAAUUUAAAUCCUGAAUGCAAUGGAGGGUACAAUUUUUAAUUUUUAUAAAGUAAAUUUUUUACUUUUAUAAAUAUGCCACAGUGAUUGCUGAACUAUUAUUUGUUAUCUGUUCAACCUUCCCUCCCGUCAUAUGACUGACCUUUUAAUUUGUUUCAAUAUCAUGAUUUGUUUCUUUUGUUCUAAUUUCAGGGAAUUUGCUGAAUUUACACUUGACACUCGUGCAUCUCUGGAAUUAUUUAAAUCAUUCACUGGAGCAGAGUAUGUUGCUGCACAACGUCUAAGGUAUGUGGAGCAUCUCACCUUACACACUUCUAGAAUUACAUUUUAUCCCCUUUUUGUUCAUAAGUUGAAUUCCAUGAACUGUCGUAGACUCACAGUAUUCAUUUUGACAUUCAUAUUAUGGAUUAGUUAAUUUGAUUCAUUGUAAUGCAGGAGAAGAAUAAUGUACUACCAUAUGGAAGCUUUCAAAAAAGUUGAUAUCAUAGUGACCCCUACAACUGGGUAUGGCAUGCUCAUUCUGUUUAGCAUGUUGUAACCGCAUUUUAAUGUUGGUUUAUUUUUUCUUGUGUAUUUUUACAAAGGCAAACAAAUUUUUUUUUUUUUUUGAAGCAAUUAAAAUUUAAAUGUAUAGUUUCUUGCAAGAUCAUGAAAUAAAUCCUAAGUUGAAAAAUAUGCAAAUUCUGCUAAAUCGCAGGGACAAACCUAGUAGGAUUGCAAUUGUCUUUCUGUGGCCACCGAUAUGAAGUUUUAUUUUACCAGGAGUAUAUAUUAUUAAUUUCUUUUUUCUUUACCUUAUUGUCAUUUGAUGCUUAAACCUUUACCAAUGCUUAUGUGUGGUUUAAUUGUAUUUUUUUCAAAACAUUUGCUGUGCUUCAUCCUUUCUGUGAAAUAUAAUGAACCUUGCAUCUAUACAUCAUAUUCAUGUGUGACAAUAUGAAGAGUUUUCUAAUAUAAUAUUUUUGAUAUGACAGUAUUACUGCACCUAUAAUACCACCAAGCUCUCUGAUUUCUGGAGAGAGUAAUUACGUGGUGUCAGGUUAGUUUUGCUUAAUUCUUCCAUUAUUUUAAAAAAUAUGCUAUACUCAACAUUGUACACUGUAUAUGGUAAGGUAGUAUAUGUACAUAUGAAUGGAUUCUGAUCAAAAAAACAUUUAUCAAAAAAUGAAAUAAUUAGCAAACUUGCUCGGUUUUUUCUUUUGUGUAGUUAUUGUGAAAAAGGAAUUAUUGUUAUCUCACUUAUUACUCCACCUGUAUUAUCUUAACAUAUUAUUGGAAGAAUAUAAUUUAGUUGAUUUGUUCGUAAGCCAUUCUUAUUCUGAAUUUCGUUCUUUUGUUCAGCUUAUCUCAUGAAAUUCGUAUUAUCAGCUAACCUUCUUGGACUCCCAGCUGUGUCUGUGCAUGUAAGUUUUUUUUGGCUUUCAAACUUUUAGUGAAAGGUAGUUUUUGACAAUUAUACGUUAAAAAGAUGACAUAAUUAAGCUCAAGUUAUUUGACAGGUUGGUCAUGACAAAGAUGGACUUCCAAUAGGUAUACAGUUGAUUGGUAGGCCAUGGGGAGAGGCUAACCUUCUCAGGGUGGCAUAUGCUAUUGAGGUUUGCUUGGUUAUAUGAAAACCAACUACUAAUUAUUAUUGAUGUUUAAUUUAUAAGGUUGAAGAUAGAUACAGUUUUAAAGAAAUAAGAUUAAUUUAUAAGAGAAACUGUAAAAUAUAGAGACAGUACAUGCAUGAAUAAUGUUUAUCAUAGUUACUAUUUGCUUAUUUCUGUGUUUGGUCUUUCAGGAGCUUUGUUUAUCUUCAAGGAAAAAGCCUUCUAUCUUUUAUGAUGUUAUGCAUGAAGUCUGAAUCCCCAAGUUUUAAGGUGCAAUCUGUUGCAAAAUGAUAAAUGUCUGCGGGAUAUAGGACAACACAUAUCAUACAGUUCUCAUGCGGAGAUUUAUUUAUUGGCUGUUUUGAAUAAAUAUUUUUUUUAAAGCAGAACUCAGGUGUGAAUUUUAUGUUUUUUUUUUUGAAGCAGAAUUUUAUGUUUUUUAUUUAGGUAAUUAGGUGCAAUAAAGAAGGUUAUUGUAAAAAGAGUUAAUCUUUCAUAAAACAAUGUUAAGAAGAUAACUAAUAUCAUUAAUUAGUGAUUACCCAAACACUAACAGAUACGUACUGAUUUAAACACCCUGUUCUUAUCUAUGGUCAAACUCAAAUCAAAUGUCCAAAAGUCUCGUGUGUUUUUAUAUUCUUAUCCAUGAAUCCUUCCGACAAACUGCAUCCAUUCAUCAAAUCUUCCAUCCCUCUUCUUAUAUGCUCAUACAUGGAUCUCCGAUCUCCGCGUCACUCAAAUAUUUCAUUUCUUCUCCAUUUCUUACACGUGGUUCUCCACUCACUGUUAACUGUCUCCCGGUUUAUAUGACCACCACAAUCUACCGUCCAGGUUCAACUUCAACAGACUUCAAGUCGAUACGGCUCGCACCAGUGCUCUCUCAUGGCGACUUCCAUUUGUCUCAAGGUUUCUGGGUUCCUUAUUCAUCUUUUAUUAGUCCUUUUUUUUCGAACUUGAUUAUUGUUCUGAAACAACCACUGACUGUGACUGAGGGAGGAAGAAGGGAUUCGAAUAGAUACAAACUUUCGAUUUGGUUGAUUUUCGUAGAACAUGGGGAGUGUUUUUUUCUCUCCUCUCCACUUUCAAAAUUUCAUUGUCGUAGAAGAUUGAAAGUUUAUGUGCUCCCCAAAUUCAAGCAAAGGAUAUCUAUAAAUCUAAUGUUCAAGGGAUAUUAGAUGGUGUGAACUUAAUUGAUGACAGCAAUGCUUUAUAAAUAAAUCUGUAUUUUCCUUUGCUGCAGUAAUUUUUUUUUGUUACAUAUUUUGAUUUAUCCAUCACACUUCCUGUAAGUUUGAAAUAUUUUCAGCUGAUUGUUUUUAGGUAAUUUUAAUUGCCAUAUAAAUAGAUAUCUCUAUUUAUUCACUCCGUCAAUUCCAAAAUCUCAUAAUGUAAAUCAUGAAUUUUCCGUAACACUAAUAUUGUCGAAACAAAUGUUAUUUCUUAGAAUUUCAUGAGAGUAGUGGUUUAAAUGUACUGACCACAAUAAAAUCAUUUAUUCGGAAUGUGCAGGCUCAUGCUUUUGAGAGACAGGAAUGCUCUUUAGGCUAUGGUUAUCAGACCUUUUCUAACUGCAGAGGACAAUUUCCACCAUUCCAUGACCUACAAUAUAGAAUCUUUUGUAAAUCAAACUUACAUUGUUUCUAUACCCAUCGAACUAGACUUACUUGUCAAAAUAAAGUAGAUAGUUUCUGUGAAAAAUCUAUUUCAACAUUUUUUGGUCAAAGAGGCUUACAUAGUCCUGAUACUUCCCGACAAAAAAGAUUCCGGAUUAAUGCUGAGCUUGAAGUUGCCAGUGCUAUUGAUGUUAUCAAUGAUCUAGGUUUUGACACACUUACUUUCCUGUGUGUGACUGUUGGAAUCAUCCCUAUUUUUAAGCGCCUAAAAGUCAGCCCAGUAAGAUUUUGUUAUUGAGCUUGCUUUCUCUAGUUCUUCUUUGUAACUCCUUUGUCUUGCACCUAAAGGUUCUUUGUAUCUUUCACUUAUAUCAUUUUACAGAUUCUAUUUAUUUAUAUCAUUUUUGUUUGUGGUAUAUUUGCAGAUCCUAGGUUUUUUUUCUGCUGGAGUCUUAUUAAAUCAAUUUGGUCUUAUUAGAAACCUUGGUGAUGUCAAAGUUCUUUCUGAAUGGGGGAUUCUUUUUUUGGUAAACUUAUUCUUUCCCUUUUAAAUUAUUCACUUUUUCUAUAUUAGUAAAGAAUAGUAAAACCAAAGUAUUCUCUUCUUGCAGUUAUUUGAAAUGGGUUUGGAGCUUUCUCUUGCACGCCUUAAGGCUCUUGCAAAAUUUGCCUUUGUACUGGGAUUGGCACAGGUUUGUCUUAAUAAACAAGUGUUUACAGUCUUAAAAAUACUUUGGUAUUGAUUUUGUACUUAUUAGUACAUCUCUUAUAGUACUGUAAACAAGUCUUAGCAGACAAGAGCAGGCUUUAAAAGUCAAAACAGUCUUAAAUAUUUUUUUUACCAAGUUUGAACCAAACACUAGAAAGUAUCAUCAUAUUUUUUACAUGUAUAGAUCUUUGAAUGUUCAUUUAUUAUAAUUUAUAAAGAACAUAAAUAUAUUUCAUUUAUAUUUAUAAUUCACUUAAUUUAUCUAUUCAUUUUGACUAUGCUGCUUUCUAAAAUAAUUAUACAAUAUCGGCGGUGAUGAUAUAUGUUUUUGUGUUAACUACUAGUCAAAUACUUAGGUUUGGUAUUUAUUUUGUUUUACUUUCAAUGAAUAUACAUCAAUACAUGCUUGUCUUACUUGGGAUUUUCAAUUCAUUGAAGGUUAUCUUGUCCACCCUUGCAUUUACAGCAUUUGAACUUCCACCAAACGGGGCCAUUGGGACAAGAAUUCUACAAUUUCUUUUCAACUCAAGACCUGAUUUGGUGAGUAAUAUUUGUAAGGUUUUUAUAUUUUUACGUUAGUUAGGUGCUGUUUGAAAAAUCAUCAGUGUUUUUAUUAUCAUAGCUUCAGAUUUUUAUGAUACCAUUACUGAGUUUUAUUAUUAUGGCUUUAGCAUCUUUAAUUAUCUUAUCUCACAGAAUUUUGUACAUUGUAUAUCAAUUUUUUGAAGUGCAGGUAAAUAUUAGAAGCAUUGAUGAAGCUGUAGUGAUUGGAGCUGCAUUGUCGUUGUCAUCUUCAGCUUUUGUACUGCAGGUGAGCAGGUGACUACUAACAAUAAGCUAGUGGUGGUUUCAUUUUCCGUCAAAAAAACUUGUGGUUAUUUGUAGUUCAUGUGUGUUAGCAUUGGGGGGUUUGUGUGAUAGAAAUUCUAUAUAUUAGUUCGAAGAGCUUGGGGUCACGUCAGUUAUCAUUGGGGAAGUAUGAACCGUGAGUUUAAUUGCUUAAAAAAAAGUAUGAACCGUGAGUUUAAUUGCUUAAAAAAAAGUAUGAACCGUGAAAGAAUGAUCAAAGAUCAGUUUGAAGAAUGUGGGAUCACUCAUAGUUAGUGUUUGUUAGUGAAGUAGGAACAAUCUGAUGAUGACAUGCACUAAAUAAACUAUCUACCAAUUAGAAUUCUGAAAUCCACCAGAAAAUAGAAGAAAUGAAUUAAGAGAGUAGAAUACAAGGAAUAUCUGGAAAAUAUGAUAUCAAAAAGUGACGAGCCUAUCCACCUUUAUUCCUUAAAUACUCGUCUCAUAGUAGUGGACUUAGGGUGUCAAAUAAAGCUCGGCUCGGGCUCGUAAGCCCAACGAGUCGAGCCCGAGCCUGAAGCUCAAGCUCGUUAAGCUCGUUAAGCUCGGUGGGCUCGGUAAGAGGAGUAUAAUAAUAAUAAAAUAUUAUAAUUAGAGAGAAUGAGGAUAUAGCUUAAAUGGUAAAGUACUUGUUUUUUUCUUUGAAGCAAUUAAAUUUCAUUAGAAUAAGGCUAAUGCCAAGUUUACAAAAAUAGAGAAUAAAAAUAAAAAUAGAAGUAAAAAGAAAUGAGCAAAAAGCUCAUUGACCAUUAGCUAUGUAGUCUAGUUAUACAGUAACUAAAUACGCUACCUCAGGAGGUUGGUCUCUCAUACUUCCAUCAUAGAUGUCUCCAAAGGGUGACAACAACUCUUCUUAUAAUACAUUGAAUCAAAGGAGAGACUGAUGUCUUUAAUGACCUCCUUAAGGACUAUCUCAGGAGGCCUACUAAUGUGCUGUCUAUACCUUUAUUUCUUUCCGUCCAUAUAUGCCACGACAAGCACAAAUAGCAUUCCAUAUUAACCCCCAAGGGGGGGAGUGGCGCGUAAUCUUUUGUGCUGCCUCCGUCAGAUCCCCCAAUCUAAUAUCUGGCGCGUAAAGUACUUGUUUAGCAUGGGAGAGGUUGUGGGAUCGAUACCCCAUUUCUCCAAAUAUUUAUUUUAACCUGCAACUUCAGGUUAAGUUCGAGCCCGAGCCCGGCUCAAUAAGCCAAAGCUCGGCUCGGCUCGUUUGACACCCUAAGUGGACUCUUCAUGAGACGAGUUGUUAUUUUUAGUUAGAGGUUAGAUAUGCCUCUGUCAAGACAGAUGGCAUGACAUGGACAGCCUAAAUGUAUGUGUCCUACAUUAGUUAGCAUUGGGGGAGUGUGAAUGAAUAACUAAAUCAUGUCAGUUCAAAAAAUAUGGGACCACUCAUAGUUCAUGUUUUGGCACUGGGGGAGUGUGAAAGAAUGACCAAAGGUCAGAUCAAAGAACGUGGGAUCACUCGUAGUCCAUGUUCAGGAAGUACUGAUGUUGUGUUAAAGAAUAUGAAAGGGUCGGUUCGAAAGAACUUGGCGUCACUCAUAGCCUUUGUGCGGUACUAGUUUGAAGAACUUGGGCACUUCUAUGUUGCAAAUAUAAACCUGGAAAAACUGGAUGCAUUUGAGGGAGAGUGUUAGAAAUAUGGUCCCACAUCGAUAAUUAUGGAAUACUUACCCACUAUCAUGUCUAAAUAUGUCACUCUACCUUAUUAGUGUUUAGGUUUUAGGUGAUACAUAUCAAAUAUAUUUUUAUCAAAGUCUUGAUAAAAUCUAGUAUCCAUUAUGUGAUUCUAAUCAAACUAGUGGCUAAUCAAUUAUGUCAUUUAGCUUCUUGCUGAGAAAGGUGAGCUCCCAACAAGAUUUGGUUCAGCAACACUAGGGAUCCUUUUACUACAGGUAAUUGUCUUAUCUUUCCAUUGCCUGAUUCCUUUGAUUCUUCUUCUGGUUAUAUUGCACUUACCUGUUGAUAUAUUUUAACCGUAUAUGUGGUAAAUUCCUUGUUAUAUUUGCAGGAUAUAGCAGUCGUGCCUCUCUUGGUCAUUCUUCCUGUGCUGGAAAGUCAGGUAUUACGAGAUUAUUGAUCCUUUUUGGUUAAGUAUAGGAGAAAACUUAGUUUAAGCAUUUCAUUCUGUGACUUUCCUCAGAACCUUGUAGAAGAAAGCAUUUGGCCAAUACUACUUGCAGAAAGCCUCAAAGCACUUGGCGGACUUGGUUUGCUCUCUAUUGGUGGAAAAUUCUUUCUUCGACGAGUAUUUGAAGUUCGUAUUGUGUUUUUCUUUUGAAACUGUUACAUUCCGGUUAGUCUUAUGUUAGUAACGAAUCAUUCCUAAUGUAGGUUGUGGCAGAAUCAAGAAGUUCUGAAGCUUUUGUUGCUCUUUGUCUUCUUACUGUUUCGGGGACUUCCCUUCUUACUCAAAAGUUGGGUUUCAGUGACACAGUUUGGUUUCUUUCCUAAACAAUGAAAUUCAAUAAUCUUCUCGUUCUUAUUUAUCUUAUACUUGUAUAUAUUUUUUCAAAAAAAAAAAUCAAAGCUAGGAGCAUUUCUUGCUGGUGCACUACUCGCAGAAACAAAUUUCCGGACUCAAAUUGAAGCUGAUAUAAGACCUUUUAGAGGCCUUCUACUUGGAUUAUUUUUUCUAGCAACAGGAACAUCGAUUGAUACACAGGUAGGAAGAUUUUUCAUCAAAGUCUUUAGUUUUUCUGCUUUCAUUAUAUGAUAUUUCGAUUUAAUUUUUUUGUCAUCAAACUAACGUAACAAGUGUUUGGUUGUAAUUUUAAAAGAAUUUAUACCACUUACAUGUUCUUCUUAGUAGUUAUUUUUCUUCCAUGCAGCUCCUUUUCCGAGAGUGGCCAAAUGUCCUUUCUCUCUUGGCAGGUUUGAUUGUGAUCAAGACCCUGAUAAUAACUGCAAUAGGUCCACGAGUUGGACUAACCUUACAAGAAAGUGUCCGUAUAGGACUGCUACUUUCUCAGGGAGGGGAGUUUGGAUUUGUUGUAUUUUCUUUGGCAAACAGGUCUGUUCUGAGUCUUUUGACUGUGCUAGUCUUUAAUAACUAUUAUUCUAUUUGCCUGUUUAUGAAUCAUUAAGAAAUAUAACCAUAUAUUCAAAAACUUACCUUACCUGCAGGCUUGGAGUGCUUCCUCUUGAACUCAACAAGUUGCUUAUAAUUGUCGUCGUGCUGUCGAUGGUGUUAACACCUUUGCUUAAUGAAGUUGGAAGGAAAGCAGCUGAAGUCAUCAGUGAAAAGUUUGAAACUAGUGAAGAAGUAUGCAGUAUAUCGCACUUAUAAUGUAGUUACUGUAUGUAGAUAUAUCUAUUAACUGUUUGUUUUAUUUUACUUUUGAUUCAAGGAUCGACAACUUGCUGAAAAUGCUAACUAUGAUUCAAGCGAUCCUAUUGUAAUACUUGGAUUUGGACAAAAGGGUCAGGUAUGUAAAAUUUCUAUUCUGUAUUUAGUAUUAGCUAAGAAGGGUAUUUAAUAUAAGUAUAGAAAACUAAACUAAGCCAAUGAACUAGAACUGAAUAAACUGGAAUGAAUUACAGAAACUGAUUGUAAUAGAAUUGAAAUAAAAUUGAGUUUAAGAAUUGAAAUUGACUAACCAAUCAAAGGAAAUACACAUUGAAAUUUCAAACGAAGAUUUAGUAGAGUACAUCAAAUUGAGGAACGGAACAACAGAAAACUAAGAAAUUGAAUUUGAAGACAGAAAAAUAUAAAUUUGGAUUUCAACUUCCGACUGAAGAUGAUACCUGCAAACAGAACAACAACGCCUGAGUAAUCAGAAGGCUCGGACGUGAGAAUGAGAGAAAGGAGAUCAAAAGGAAAGUACUCACAACUAAGAAAUUGAAGUGAAGUUUGAUCGUCGACCCUUCUUCUCUUUAAUAGCCUUUUCUGUUAACUAAAAUCAGUUGUGUAACUGAUUUUCCAGAUUUUUGGGAAAAUCUGUUUUCACAUUAAACUCUGUUUUCACAAGGUAAUCUAUUGUAAUCUCUUACAUUAUCGCUAUGCAUUAAUUUUAUUUCAGGUAAGUUGUCUAUUUAUUUUAGUUAAGCAUGUCAUGUUCUCAGGUACUUGCAAACUUCUUGUCAACACCACUGGCCUCUGGUCUGGAUAAUAACCUUGUUGGAUGUCCAUACGUUGCAUUUGAUCUGAGUCCAAGUAUUGUAAAGGUGUGAAGUUCUUGAAAUUUGUGUGUUUGAUUUUUUAUAUUAAUGGGUUCAAGAAGUCAGACAUUACCAAUGUUCUCCCAGGAGGGUAGAAAAAUGGGAUUCUCUAUCUUUUAUGGAGAUGGAUCAAGGCCAGCAGUUCUGCAAGCUGCUGGUAUAUCUUCUCCAAAAGCAGUUGUUCUCAUGUAUACUGGAAAAGAAAAGAUACUAGAAGCUAUUCAAAGAACCCGUCUUGCAUUUCCAGCGGUAUUAGAAAUUUGGCACUCCAUUUAAAAAAAAAUCUUAAUUGCAUUUUUAUUUAUUUUCGUUUCGAGGAUUUUCAACUUUACAUGGUAGGUUUUAGCAAUAUUUCUUGAUUCAUUAUUAAUCUAACAUCAACUAUUUGAUACAUCCCUAAACAGAUUCCUAUAUAUGCAAGAGCUAAGAAUGUGAAACAUCUUUUAGACUUCAAGAAAGCAGGUGCCACAGAGGUCAUUCUCGAAAGUGCUGAGGUAAAUGGAAUAGUUAGCUGAGAUUUUUGUCUUCAAAGAUGUUAGCUAAUUAUUAUAGUCAGUCAAAUAGUGAACGUCAGGUUAAGAUUUUUUUUUUAAGAGGUAAACGAAAUUUAACGUCAUUGAUUAUUUAUUUGACUUAGCCAGGUUAAGAAUUAAGAUAGUUAAGCAAUUUUCUAAUAUAUGAUUGCAGACAAGCUUACAGCUAGGUUCCAAGCUUUUGAAAGGAUUAGGUGCCAUGUCAGAUGAUGUUACUUUCCUGCGUCAAUUAGUAAGAGAUUCAAUAGAAAUUAAAGCUCAGACGGAAAUUGAUGGCAUUGACGAAGAAGAGAUUGAAAUGUUGAAGCAAAUGCAGGUAAAUUCAUGAAAAAUGAUCACAUUUUGAAUAAUAACAUGCCCAAACUAAGUCGAUCUUGAUUUUCUGCAGGUGACUACUACAUCAGUUCUCCGUGAAAACAAUCCAAGUUAUUUAACUAACAUUGACAAGCAAGCAGGAAUACAGACAGGGCAAGAAAUCUCAAUCAUAGAACCUGAGAUUUUAGAAGAUUGUGAAAAAGGUAUUUCAUAUUGUGAUCUAGACGAUAUUUCCAACGGUUCCUCAAAUGGCAGUGGUGAUUCUUGUGAAGAAAUGACUUCAUUGGAUUCGAAUAUUUAGUUAUUUAUUUGUUUAUAUGAUAUAUUGAUAUAGUAGUUGAUGUAAAUAAAAGAAAUUUUGAUUCUGAAAGAAGAAAAUGUACUUCAUUUUUCGCAAACGGCCAUUGGUACUGAGAAAUUUAGGUUAUGAACUAGAUUGACAAGCAAGUUUUUCUCUUUUUUGCUGCAUAUUUUGCAUGGUUAUUUGCAUUUUUCAUGUAAUUUUGAACCAAAUCUCGAAACAUAUUGGUCUUAUUGUAAACUUCUUACUUGAUCUAGUGAUCUUGUUUCUGAAAAAAUAUAUAUAUAUCUUUUAAUUAGGGUUUAGGGUUUUGGAUGUAAACGCAAUUAUUUCUUCUUUUUUAAAUAAAAUAAAUACGUAUUACUGUAUUAGAACAGGCGACUCCCGACUCCCCCGGUCCCCGAAUUUCUAUUUGUUCUUUUUUGGUUAUCAGACUUUGAGCUGUACGUCUGUACAUGGUCAGUUUAAUCUCACGUCGUGGAGGAGCAAUGGCUUCCACGGUUCUCUCAUCAUCUUCGUCAUUCAGCGCAAUGAAUACUACUUCCUCUCGGAUGAGCACCAGAAUCCCCAUGUUUUCAUCAACGAAGAGAAGAAUCCCCGACGUGGUUUCCAUCCGAUUCCCAUGUUCCAUCUCUGGUAGUUUUGGACGCGUAUCGAGUCAAUGUUUUGUCUCCACUGCAGUAUCUGACAAGAUCAAAGUCCAGAACCCUAUUGUUGAGAUGGACGGUGAGUACUGGAAACCAGGAUUUUUUUCUUCCAUCUUAUCUAUUGAGAGAGAGUCAGACAGAGGUAGAAAACAGUAUUUAUUAUUCGAACUGAUUGUUUUUUUAUCUCAGGUGAUGAAAUGACUAGGAUCAUUUGGAAAAUGAUAAAGGACAAGGUUAGUAAUUUUCAUGAUUCUUCUUCAUUUUUAUUGUUGCAUUCUUGUUCCCGUUGGUUAGGAUUUUGCAAAAAUAAUAUGCGUUUUUUGUGUGAUUGCAGCUCAUACAUCCAUUUCUUGAUCUGGAUAUUAAGUACUUUGAUCUUGGACUUGAGAAUCGUGAUGCAACUAAUGAUAAGGUUACCGAGGAGAGUGCAAAGGCCACACUCGAGUAAAUUUCUCUGUUAUAUCAAAUUUUUUUAUGUCAUGUUACAAUGCAAAUCUUUUUUGUAUUUUUUCCAACCUCCAAGUUUAUCAAAUAUCUUUCAACGUAGACAAUUUUUUUUGAAAUAGGUCAGGUAGCUUACGAAGAAGAGACAAAUGUGGCCACAUACAUGUUGUUCUCUGUGUAUGUGGAAGAUAGUGAGCUUUUAACAUAUCUAGGAUUACCAAUCACGGGAAAGAAAAAGUCAUUUAGACAGUGCUGGAAACUAAUCCAGUCUAUAGAGGUACUCUUAGCAAGAUAGAGUGGGAAAUGUCUUUCCUAUGGAGGGAGAAUACACUAGUUAACUGGAUAAUAGCUGAAAAGUAUACUUAUUGGGCGCAAGGUAUGGCUAUCCCUGAUUCUGUGGCUAAGAAGGUGAGAAGGUUAGCCUAUAGAUUUAUAUGGGACGGAAGGAAAGGAAUCCCGUGGGCCCAAAUGGUCAUUUCCAAGGCGGAAGGGGGUCUAGGGGUUAGAGACCUACCUAUUAUCACCACUGCAACCAAUAUUUAAAGAGCUUCAAAGUACUGAGAUAAGAGUGACUCUAUUCUGGUAAAAUGGAUCCAAGAUAGGUAUAUGAAAGAAAAGACGCUUAAUGAUAUACAAAUCAAACCUACUGUGGAUUCACAUUUUUUGAAAGCUUUUGUCUCAGAAAGAAACCUAGUGGAUAAAUGUUUGGAUUGUAGCAUAGUUCCAGGCGCAUCUCCCUUAGCAUGCGAUUUUUUUUUUAUCUUCCUUCAUCUUUUUCUCCAUCUCAUUUCAGAGUUCAGACAUCUCAUUUAGAGAUUAGGGUUGUGUUUUUUUUAAUUAAUUUGUUAUUUUUUUAGGGUUUUCGAAAUGGCUGAAUUUAAUGAAAACAAUGAGGGUGAACCCCAACCUGAACCUAUAGAUGUAAAUCAUUUGUUCUAUAAACGGCUAAAGAAGAUACAGGAUCAUCUAUAGAUCGUAUUAUGUAUUUCAAGUUUAAACUAGUCUAUGUGUUUUGAACUACUUUAACUAUUUUGAUAUAUUUUAUGAAGUAGAUAUAUUUUUGGUAUAUAAAUAAUAUAUGAAAAACCUUUAUUUUUAUAUAUAUUUACGAAAAUGCCACUGACGCAAAAGCUCAAGUGCUCCAGGUGGUGGCGCAUCGCGCAAAGGCGCAUCCUGAACCUUGGAUUGUAGAGCCAAUAGUACGAUUGUGUGGAGAUCUGAUACUCCGAUAAUCAAGUUGGGGGGAAUGGUGGAAAGUAUUAGAGAUAGAAAGCAUAAAGAUAUAUUAGCUGAGGGAAUUUGGUCGAAGAUGUCGACAAAAUUCUCUAUUCUCUUGUGGAAGGUAAAAUAGAAUCACCUAAAUACGUUCAAGAAGCUGAGAAGUUGGAGAGUACAAGUACCUCCUGUUUGCUUGUUAUGCAAUCUGGAAGAUGAAACUAGGAGUCAUUUUUUUUUUAACUGUUCUUAUUCCAGAUCUCUCUUAAUUCCGUUGGCGGAACAUUUGGAUCUCGCCUUCUGGAAAAUAAUGAAUAUUCUAGUUCCCACCCAAUCCAGUCCAGAUAUUAGAUUGGGGGAUCUGACGGAGGCAACACAAAAGAUUACCCACCACUCCCCCCCUUGAGAGCUACUAUGGAAUGUUAUUGGGUGCUUGUCGUGGCAUAUAUAGACGGAAAGAAAUAAAAGAUAUAGACAACACAUUAGUAGGCCUCCUGAGGUAGUCCUUAAGGAGGUCAUUAAAGACAUCAGUUUCUCCUUUGAUUCAGUGUAUUACAAGAAGAGUUGUUGUCACCCUUUGAAGAUAUCUAUGAUGGAAGUAUGAGAGACCAACCUCCUGAGGCAGCGUAUCUAGUUAUUAUAUAACUAGAUUACAUAGCUAAUGGGAGAGAGUCAAUGAAUUUUUUGCUCAUUUCUUUUUACUUCUGUUUCUAUUUCUAUACUCUAUUUUUUGUAAACUUGGCAUUAGCCUUAUUUUAAUUAAAUUUAAUUGUUUCAAAAAAAAAAACUAAAUUACAUAGCUAAUGGGAGAGAGUCAAUGAGCUUCUUGUUCAUUUCUUUUUAUUUCUGUUUUAUUUCUAUACUCUAUUUUUGUAAGCUGGGCAAUAGCCUUAUUUUUUAAUGAAAUUUAAUUGCUUCAAAAAAAAUCAUAUGCGACGGUAUUGAGUGCAUAGUUUCUUAGGGUACAUAUGUGAUGUAGCAGAUAUGCUUCAUAAUGUCUCGAAUUGUGCUCUAGCUUAUGCUGAGAGCACAUUUAGUCUUAACUAGUCCAGCAGAACCAUCUCAAGGGAGCUUCCCUCCUUAUGAGAUGGUAUAAAGAAUAAAUAAAUGAAUAAAUAAAUAAAUAAAUAAAGGGGAAGCAUUUUGGUUAUCUAGUUCUGCAGGCCCAUCCCAAGGAGGCCUCCCACCUUUUGGAGAUGGUAUAAAUAAGAAGAAUAAUGGGAAACAUGCAAUUAACAUAUUACUUUAUUCUCAAGGUAUUACUUUCUCUUGCUUUUUCUUCCCGAUUGCUUUUUCUCUUCCAUUCUUUGAGAUUUGGUUUAUUGACUUUAUUCCAGAUCGCCAACUCUCUGGUGGAAAUGUGGAAUCCAGAUUAUUUAAAUAAUUUGACAUCGCAAAACAGUAGAAGAUCCUUCAGAUCUUCUACAUCAAUAUGACUUACACUUUUUGAUCUUAUAUACAUACAUAUCCUUCAUUAAAUAUAUAGGAAAAAUUCCAGGUGUUAUAGGAAUAUCGUGUUAUAAUUGUGUCAUAACUCAUCCAUACCUUUUAUUAUUGAAUAUUGAUCCAAAGGUGGGCAAAAUAAAUGUUUAAAAAAAAAUCCAAUAGGUGGAAUCUCGAGGUCAGUAGUUGGAUGGAUGAGAUGAAUUAUAAUACCUUAUAACACGUACACGUAUAACAUUUGAAUCCAUCUCUAAAUAUAUAAUACCUAAAUGAUACAUGAGCAUAUAUAAUAAAAUACCUGAAUGAAAUAAGUAGCAUUAAAACUAAUAAGCACCCAAUACCUGGAUGCUUUUGGGUGCCUUGCUUGGGACAUCUGGUCUGAAAGGAAAAAGAAGGCUCAAGCAGCAUAUUUUGAAACCCCCAGAAAUCCUCACAAAGGAAAUCAUUAGAAGAUUUCAAGAAGGCUUACUGUUCACAAAUGAAGUUAACUACACUGCAAAUGUGGGAGACCAACCUUCUAAGGCAACACUUCUAGUUAUUUAAAUACUAGACUAGGAUUCAUGCUAUAUCUUGACCCAUCUCUCUAUUCAUAUUUCUUUUAUCUCCAUAUAUAAUUCAGAGUACCACCCUUCAUUCCUAAUGAGAAAAUGAAUGGGAUGGAAGGAAAGGGAUCCCGUGGGCCCAAAUGGUCCUUCCCAAGGCGGAAGGGAGUCUAGGGGUUAGAGACCUACGGACCUACCUAUUAUCACCAUUGCAACCAAUAUUAAAAGAGCUUCAAAGUACUGGGAUAGGAGUGACUUUAUUCUGGUAAAAUGGAUCCAAAAUAGGUAUAUUAAAGGAAAGGCGCUUAAUGAUAUACAAAUCAGACGUAAUGUGGAUUCGCAUUUUUGAAAAACUUUUGUCUCAGAAAGAAACCUAGUGGAUAAAUGUUUGGAUUGUAGGGCAAAUAUUACGAUUGUGUGGAGAUCUAGUACUCCGAUAAGCAAGUUGGGGGGAAUGGUGGAAAGUAUUAGAGAUAGAAAGCAUAAAGAUAUAUUAGCUGAGGGAAUUUGGUCGAAGAUGCCGACAAAAUUCUCUAUUCUCUUGUGGAGGGUGAAAUGGGAUCACCUAAACACGUUCAAGAAGUUGAGAAGUUGGAGAGUACAAGUACCUCCUGUUUGCUUGUUAUGCAAUCUGGAAGAUGAAACUAGGAGUCAUUUUUUUUUUAACUGUUCUUAUUUCAGAUCUCUCUUAAUUCCGUUGGCGGAACACUUGGAUCUCGCCUUCUGGAAAAUAAUGAAUAUUCUAGUUCCCACCCAAUCCAGUCCAGAUAUUAGAUUGGGGGAUCUGACGGAGACAGCACAAAAGAUUACGCACCACUCUCCCCUUUAGGGGCUACUAUGGAAUGUUAUUGGGUGCUUGUCGUGGCAUAUAUGGACGGAAAGAAAUAAAAGAUAUAGACAACACAUUAGUAGGCCUCCUGAGGUAGUUCUUAAGGAGGUCAUUAAAAACAUCAGUCUCUCCUUUGAUUCAGUAUAUUACAAGAAAAUAUGUUGUCACCCUUUGGAGACAUCUAUAAUGGAUGUAUGGGAGACCAACCUUCUGAGGCAGCGUAUCUAGUUACUAUAUAACUAGAUUACAUAGCUAAUGGGAGAGAGUCAAUGAACUUCUUGUUUAUUUUUUUUCUUUUUCUAUACUCUAUUUUUGUAAACUGGGCAAUAGCCUUAUUUUUUAAUGAAAUUUAAUUGCUUCAAAAAAAAAAUGAAAAACUGAAAAUUUAACUUUACCAAAAAACUCUGAAAUUUAGCGUAGCAUUAACACAGAGAGAAUACUUUAACUCUUCAUUUUGUAACCAUUGGAAUAUCAAAAUCAUUCAUUUGAGUCAUAAAGUCGAUGGGCAUUGGUGAUUCCUCGUCUUCAUCAUCUUAUAUUCUCUUCUUAUAACUAGCCAUUGUUUGUUGUUGGCUUCAAGUUGAUGACCUAAUGAGUUUGUUUACCUCCAUUGCAUCCUUCAUCAUAAUCAAUUGCAGACCUCCAGUGAGAGCAUUCAGAAGCAUCAAGUCUUCCAUUUCUCAAGUAAACACUUAUGGUUUUAGACUUUUAGUGUUUCAUUUUUUAGGGAUUUUUAGGUUAGAAUUUAGAUUAUUUUUUUUGUAUAUUUUUUGAUAAUUUUCAGAGAUAAGUGAAGAUGAAAAUUAUGAACCACUACAUAAAAACAGAAUCGAGAUGAACCGUAAGUUAUCAAGUGGACCCAUCACUUACAAAUGAGGUUAUCAAUAGAAAAGCUAAUUGACCGGAGUUCGAUGAUCCCGGAUGGAAAUAAGGAUUCAUGAUUGAUCGUACCAAUCAAAAUUCUAUUCAGUGCUUGUUGUGCCAAUUUCUUUCUAAAAUUGGAGGAUCAUUUAAUGAGGAGGUGAUAAAAUUUUGUUCAAAAUAUCCCAAUGCACCCAUGUUUGUAAGCAAAGAGAUUGCUGAUUACGUUGCCAAGAAGAAAGCAAGUGAAUGAGUUUGGAUUGCUUCUCGGUUUUUAUUGUAUCUUGUAAGCAUGUAAGAGGUGGCCCAUGCCCCAUGCUUACCUUCUGUUCAAUGUCCACUGGUUGUAGAAGGAUCGCUAUUGGUUGAGAUGCCUUGUGACAUUCUUCAAGAAAAUGCUUUUGUGUGUCUUUAUUUUCAUAAAAACAAUUGUGUUUACAAUUUUUUUAAGGAACUUCACAGUUAUUUCGUCUGGUAUACCAAACAAUGUUAAUAAAUCGUAUAUUGUAUAAUCGUACAACUUUUUAAUCAAUUAAUUGUCUUUUUUCAAUUGCAGAUAUAAUGUUGCUGUGAAAUGUGCAACGAUCACACCUGGUUAGUUAUUUUAUUUUUUUCAUUAUUAUAAUUUAGAAUCCUGAAAACUAGAUUAAAUCCUGAAAAGUAGAUUAAAUCUCACAUCUAAAGUUUAAAGACCAAAAUUGAAUAAAUCUGUAGUCAAGCUCACUCAGAAACAGCAAGAGAAAUAUGAAAGGGGUUAAACAAGAAAGAAGAUAAAAUUUCACUGUGGACGUGAUACCUAAAAUUUAGAAUCAACGAUGGUCAAGAUCGCUAGGGGAUGGAAGUAAUCUCCCAAUAAGUAAUCUCUCAAAUUGUCCUUCCUAAGGCGGAAGGGGGUCUAGGGGUUAGAGACCUACCUAUUAUCACCACUGCAACCAAUAUUAAAAGAGCUUUAAAGUAUUGAGAUAAGAGCAUAGUUUAAAAAGCGACGCUUUAAGCGUCGCUUUUUUAGCUUUAAGCGACAAAGCGCUCCUCCAGGAGCGCUUUCUCAAUCGCUUUUUCUGGUCGGGUUAUCGGGUCGGGUCGGGUUGGGUUUUUGGGUUGGGGCAACCCACUGCCCAUAUGAAAUAACUUAAACUCUUUUAAUUUCCCUUCUUACCCCUUCAUUUCUAUCUAACUAUAUAAACUUAAUACCCUUCUAAUAAAACCCUAAUUUCUUUUUAUCACUCUCACUUUUUGUCUUCCAAAACCCUAGAGCCGCCGCCUGACCUCGCCGAAGCCGUCGCAUGACCUCGUUUUUUCCCUCCGUUCUUCACCCCUACUAUUGGUAUGAAUGUCCUCAACUUUUCCAUCAAUUUUUCUACCUUCAGACCGUCUGAAAAGGGGAAAAAAGAUGGCCGGAAUCCGGCCAUCCUCGAUUUUUUUUUUUUUUUUUUUUUUUGGAUUUUCAAUGUCAUACCCUAUAGAAACAUGUAGCCUGAUUUCAGAACAUUUUUAAAUAAGUUUGCCGGAUUAUAAACAGGGGUAUAUAUGCAAUUUUCUAAAAAAUUAUAUUUAUUUACCAAAAUGCCAUUAUCGCUUUUUCAGCUUUCAGCGCGCUCAAAGCUGAAAAAGCUGAGCGCUUUAUAUCUUUUUAAACUAUGUAUAAGAGUGAUUCUAUUCUGGUAAAAUGGAUCCAAGAUAGGUAUAUUAAAGGAAAGACGCUUAAUGAUAUACAAAUCAGGCCUAAUGUGGAUUCGCAUUUUUGGAAAGUUUGUCUCAGAAAGAAACCUAGUGGAUAAAUGUUUGGAUUGUAGGGCCAAUAGUACGAUUGUGUGGAGAUCUAGUACUCCGAUAAGCAAGUUCGGGGGAAUGGUGGAAAGUAUUAGAGAUAGAAAGCAUAAAAAUAUGUUAGUUGAGGAAAUUUGGUCAAAGAUGUCGACAAAAUUCUCUAUUCACUUGUGGAGGGUGAAAUAAGAUCACCUAAACACGUUCAAGAAGUUAAGAAGUUGGAGAGUACAAGUACCUCCUGUUUGCUUGUUAUGCAAUCUGGAAGAUGAAACUAGGAGUCAUCUUUUCUUUAACUGUUCUUAUUCCAGAUCUCUCUUAAUUCCGUUGGCGGAGCACCUGAAUCUCGCAUUCUGGAAAAUAAUGAAUAUUCCAGUUCCCACCCAAUCCAGUCCAGAUAUUAGAUUGGGGGAUCUGACGGAGGCAGCACAAAAAAUUACUCAUCACUCUCCCCCCUGGGGGCUAUUAUGGAAUGCUAUUGGGUUCUUGUCGUGGCAUAUAUGGACGGAAAGAAAUAAAAGAUAUAGACAGCACAUUAGUAGGCCUCCUGAGGUAGUCCUUAAGGAGGUCAUCAAAAACAUCAGUCUCUCUUUUAAUUCAGUGUAUUACAAGAAGAGUUGUUGUCACCCUUUGGAGACAUCUAUGAUGGAAGUAUGGGAGACCAACUGUUAGUGUGGAGACGUUUUUCAUUAAGGGCAUUAAUUAUAAUUAGAAUAAUUAGAAUUAAUGUAGGCCUUUUAUGAGCCAUUAGAAUUAAAUAGGUUUAAUUCUGUUAAAUGGGCUUUAAGCCUUGUAAUGGGUAUUAGGGUUGCAAACACAAAACGGCAACCCUAAUCUCCCAUAUAAGUAUCUUGUAAUGACUUGUAUUCUUUGUGUGAGAGAAAAAGAAGAAGAAGAGACCCCGUGGACGUAGGCACAUUGCCGAACCACGUAAAUCUGUUUUGUUCUUGUUUUUUUGCUCGGUUUUCUUAGUUCGAUUUAAGCAUCGAUCCUAUCAAUUGGUAUCAGAGCCUUGUUUGAGGUCCAAGAAGGUGCUGGAAUAAAAAAACGAACACUGUUCAUUCCGUCGAAACACUGUUCAUCGGCGGAGUUACUGUUCACGAGAAUUUUUUUUUUUUUUUUUUGAGAUUUCCAGCAAGAGGAUCUAUCAGAGCGAGGUUGGAUUAAAAAUCGAAAAGGCAAGAACAAAAGUUGGCGUUUUUUCAGAUCGGCUAGGGUUUUCCAGAGGGAGGGUUUUUUGGACCGGCGUUCCUCUGUCUUCCAGUCGACGAGUCUGUCCUGGUCAUCCAGAUCGACGGGUUUCUUUUUUUCUUUUUCGUUCAUCCAGAUCGGCGGAUUUAUUUUUCCUUGCGUUCAUCCAGAUCGGCGUUUCUUAUUUUCUACGAUCUUCCAGUCGGCGGGUCUGUCCUGGUCCAGUCGGCGUGUUCAAUCAGCGGUUUUUCUGGUUAGGGUUUGUAAACCCUCUAUCGACGUGUAUCCAGACCUUCCAGAGCAGUAGUUGUGCUUGAAAUGGCGGAUGAAAUAAAGCAUAGGGUCGAUAGGUUUGAAGGGAAUGAUUUUGCAUAUUGGAAAAUGCAAAUAGAGGACUACCUCUAUGCAAAGAAUCUUCAUGCUCCGAUGUUGGGCACAAGACCGACAGAUAUGAGUGAUGCAGAUUGGAAGCUUCUCGACAGAAAAGCUAUCAGCCUUAUUAGACCCACCUUGGCUAAGAAUGUUGCCUUCAACAUCUCCAAGUGCACCACUACAAUAGAGGUGUUAGAAACCUUGACGAAUAUGUAUCAAAAGCCUACAGCAACAAACAAAGUUUUUCUGAUGCGUAAUUUGUUCAAUCUCAAAAUGGGUGAAGGAGCAAAUGUUGUUGAUCAUGUCAAUCAAGUAAAUGUGUUAUUGACACAGUUGUCUUCUGUGGAUAUCAACUUUGAAGAUGAACUUAGAGCACUUAUUUUGUUAUCAUCUCUACCAGAAAGUUGGGAACAAGUUGCUACAAGUGUGAGCAGCUCUAUUGGUCACGGAAAGCUUAAGUGGAAUGAUAUAAGGGACCUGAUUAUUUCUGAAGAAAUCAGGAGAAAGUGUAAGACACAGUCAUCUUCUACAGCACUGAAUUUGGAGAGCAGAGGCAGAAGUCGGAAUAGAGGAAAAUUCAGAAGCAAUUCGAAGUCCCGAGGCAAGAGCAAAGGGAAGGAAAAUGUGAUUUGCUGGAAUUGUGACAAGCCUGACCAUUUCAGAUCAGAUUGCAAGGCUCCAAAGAAACAAUCUAAGGGAAAAGAAUCUGAAUACAGUGCUAACUAUUCAGAAGGUUCAGAUGAUGCAUUGGUGUGUUGUGUAGUGAGUUCUGUGGACUCUUGGGUGUUAGAUUCAGGUGCUUCGUUUCACUCGACUUACAAGAAGGAAAAUCUAAAGAACUACAGAGAUACAGAAAUCAGCAAAGUCUACCUAGCUGAUGGCAAAGCACUGGAAGUCUGUGGAAGAGGUGAAGCACAUAUCCAGACCAAGCAGGGUUUGUGGAUUCUGAAGAAUGUCAGAUUUGUGCCAAAGUUGUCAAAGCAACUAAUAUCAGUGAGUCAACUAGAUGAUGAUGGUAUACAAGCCAGUUUUGGAAAUGGAUCUUGGAAAAUUACCAAAGGAGUCAGAAUAGUAGCAAGAGGACAGAAGAAUGGCACCUUGUACUUGACAGAUGAGUCCAAUCUGUUUGCAUCAAUCAGUAUUGCAGAGAACUCAACUUUGUGGCACAAACGAAUGGGUCACAUUAGUGAAAAGGGUCUGAAGGUACUAGUGAAGGACGACAAGUUUCCAAAGAUGACUUGGGAUGAUAUGGAGACUUGUGAAGAUUGCAUUCUCGGCAAGCAGAAAAGACUUAGUUUCUCCAAAACACCCCCACAAGUUAAGCAAGCAAAGCUGGAAUUGGUACAUUCUGAUGUGUGGGGACCAGCCCCGGUGGAUUCCAUUUCAAGAUCCAAGUAUUAUGUCACCUUUAUUGAUGACAACACAAGGAAGGUCUGGGUCUAUUUCUUGAAGAACAAAUCAGAAGUGUUCUCGAUAUUCAAGAAGUGGAAGGCAGAGGUAGAAAUAGAGACAGGUUGCAAGUUGAAGUGUCUCAAGUCAGAUAAUGGUGGAGAGUAUGACAGCACAGAGUUUAAGAAGUUCUGUGAAGAGCAUGGAAUUCGCAGAGAAUAGACAGUGGCUGCCAAUCCACAACAGAAUGGAGUUGCUGAAAGGAUGAACAGGACUCUGAAUGAGCAUGCUAGAAGCAUGAGGUUACACUCUGGUUUACCUAAGUACUUCUGGGCAGAGGCAGUCAACACAUCUGCUUAUCUUAUCAAUCGAGGACCUUCUGUUCCUAUGGAUUUCAAGAUUCCAGAAGAGCUUUGGACUGGUAAAGAAGCAAGAUAUACAUAUCUACGUGUGUUUGGAAGUGUGGCAUUUGUUCAUAUCAGGAGUGAAAACAGAGACAAACUGGAUGCUAAAUCUCAGAAGUGUUACUUCAUUGGAUAUGGAAAGGAUCACUUUGGCUACAGAUUCUGGACUGACGAGUCAAAGAAAGUUAUUCGUGCAAAAGAUGCCAUCUUUCAAGAACAUAAUCUCUACAAGCACAAGGAUAGUGCUAAAACUGAUGGAGAUGAUCAGUUUGUUGAGUUUGAAGUUGAUGAGAGCCUACCAGCAUAGAAUCCUUUGGACAUUACAGAGGAGAUAGCAGAUCCUGAACUUCAAGAUGAGAAUGAGGAACAGGAAAUUCCUCAACAUUUUGUCAGGAGAUCUACUAGGCAAACUAAUCCACCAAACAGAUGGGAUCCUUCAGUGAACUACCUCUUACUGACAGAUAAUGGAGAGCCAGAAUCAUUUGAAGAGGCUCAGGUGCAAAAUGACUCUGAGAAGUGGGAGCUAGCCAUGAAAGAAGAGUUCAAGUCUCUUGAAAAGAAUAAGACUUGGCAGUUGGUUCCUUUACCACAAGGAAAACGUGCCUUACAGAAUAAAUGGGUUUUCAGAUUAAAGGAAGAACCAGAUGGAAGAAAGAGGUAUAAGGCAAGACUUGUAGUCAAGGGUUUUCAGCAGAUCCAAGAUUUGGACUACACUGAGGUGUUCUCUCCUGUAGUCAAAAUGACCACUAUCAGAAUUAUUCUAAGUAUAGUUGCAGCAGAAAAUCUCUACUUAGAACAGAUGGAUGUGAAAACAACCUUUCUUCAUGGUGACAUGGAUGAAGAGAUCUAUAUGGCACAACCAGAUGGGUUCAAGGUAUCGAACAACAAAAGAAAUCUGGUUUGCAGACUUCAGAAGAGUUUGUAUGGGCUGAAGCAAGCACCUCGACAAUGGUACAAGAAAUUUGAUAGCUAUCUCAGUGCCAUAGGUUUCAAGAGGUGUGACACGGAUUCUUGUUGCUACAAAAAACAGUUGACUGAUUGCUACAUCAUUCUUGUUGUUUAUGUUGAUGAUAUGCUCAUUGCUAGUGCAAACAUGAAGGAGAUAAAUUAUCUGAAGAAACAACUUUCAAAGGAAUUUGAGACGAAAGAUCUGGGAGCCGCAAAGCAGAUUUUGGGCAUGAGGAUCAUCCGGGAUGAGUCUUCAGGAAUUUUGAAACUGAGUCAACAGAGAUACAUUGAAAAGAUUCUUGAGAAAUUCAGUUUUGAAAAUUCCAGAUUGACAGAUCUUCCAUUGGGAGCCAAUUUUAAAUUGACAAAGGAGCAAUCACCAAAGACUGAAGCCGAAAGAAGUCAGAUGGAGAGUAUACCAUAUUCCUCAGCAGCUGGAAGUUUAAUGUAUGCCAUGAUCUGCACGAGACCAGAUAUUGCCCAUGCAGUGAGAGUUGUCAGCAGAUUCAUGUCAAAUCUAGGUGUUGAGCACUGGAAAGCUGUGAAGUGGAUACUUAGGUAUCUGAAGAAAACUCUAGAUGUUGGUCUGUGUUUCAAGAAAUUGCAGGUAGAGCUCUGUGGAUUUUGUGAUGCAGAUUUAGCAGGAGACCUUGACAGUAGCAGGAGUACCUCAGGUUAUGUGUUCAACAUAGGAAGUACAACUAUUAGUUGGAGAUCCAAACUUCAGAGUAUAGUCUCUCUCUCAACUACUGAAGCCGAAUAUGUGGCAGCUGCAGAAGCAGUGAAAAAGAAGAUGUGGCUAGAAAAUAUGCUGACAGAAUUGGGCUACAAGCAAACUGACAGUGUGCUGUGGUGUGACAGUCAGAGCGCAAUUUAUCUAGCCAAGAAUCCAGUGUUUCACUCAAGGUCAAAGCACAUCAGACUCAAGUACCACUUCAUUCGAGAACAGAUUGAAGAAGGGCAAUUAAAUUUGAAAAAAAUAGCUGGUACUGAGAAUGCAGCAGACAUGUUCUCCUAAACAGUCUCCAAGUGGGAGAUUGUUAGUGUGGAGACGUUUUUCAUUAAGGGCAUUAAUUAUAAUUAGAAUAAUUAGAAUUAAUGUAGGCCUUUUAUGAGCCAUUAUAAUUAAAUAGGUUUAAUUCUGUUAAAUGGGCUUUAAGCCUUGUAAUGGGUAUUAGGGUUGCAAACACAAAACGGCAACCCUAAUCUCCCAUAUAAGUAUCUUGUAAUGACUUGUAUUCUUUGUGUGAGAGAAAAAGAAGAAGAGGAGACACCCCGUGGACGUAGGCACAUUGCCGAACCACGUAAAUCUGUUUUGUUCUUGUUUUUUUGCUCGGUUUUCUUAGUUCGAUUUAAGCAUCGAUCCUAUCACCAAGUUGGUGUACAUCCACUAUGUUGCCUUGAUGGUGGCUCUCUAUUAAGUAUUAAUAAUCGGAAUCAGCAAAAAUAGAGAGAUGCAAUGUAAUAGUAAACUAUAGUAUUUAUUGUGAUUUGUGAGAUAUUAAUUGGGCUGGUCCCAAUUAACUUCAUAAUUGGCCCAAACAGGGUGCCGAUUAUUAGACAGUCUCCACAUUUAUAACUCCCGUUUACUCAACAUAGUCCAACAGUUCUGGUGUGAAGGAUCCGAAAUAGAUUAUAACAUAUUUGCGGAGGAUUUUAAAAAAGUGAAGAAUAGUAACUAUGAUCACGACAUAUUUGCCAAAUAUGAUCAUGACAUAAUCAGUAAUGAUACCCUACUGACUGCUAACUAACUAACUAUGAUCAUGACUGAGUUAGGUGAUUAGUGUGAACGGAUUAAGGCAAUUUCUACACGGUGUUGGAUUCUUUCUAUAAUCUGUCUUGACAACCAUGAUAAAUUUUUACUGUAAGUCAGAGAACAGGGCUUUCAAGGUGUUGGACACCUUAACUAAUUCUUUAUAGGCGUGUAGGGAAAUGGACAAACAAGAAUGAGGCAUUGCAUAAGACAGUACAAGUUAACAACUACUGAAGAAGUUAUCGACGAGAGGUUGUCCUCUACAAAAAAGGAAGAUGUACACCAUGAAUACCAUCGAUCAUUCGUCUAUAUAAAGAGCAUACCAAAAUGACAUGAUCACUAUAGAUAACCAGCAUGUGAGGGAAGGGUUAAAGGUCACCCCAAAUCCCAAUUAGUGUUCGAAGCCUAGAAAGCUGACCUAGGCAUACAAAUUGAUGGCUUUGAGAGACAUGUCGUCGAUUGUGUCUAGAAAAUCAGAUACUCAAUGCAAAGACCUUAAAAGAGGAACAAGGGAAACAAGGCUCCGAAGCAGAUUUCAUGUGAUAAGAGCAAACUUAUCCGAAGUUCAGACCACAGUAGUUAACAUAGGUAUAGGAAUCAACGGCUUGUAAAAACAGGUCGACAAAUGUGUAUACGAAGUCGAUUGAUUGGCACAAAGACUUUGGAAGAAGAUCAAGUGAUCAGGGCAAAUGAGGCUCUGAAGUGGAUUCAAGUGAUUAGAAUAUCCUUAUCCAAAGUUCAAACCCAUGAUCAAGUUAUCAACGAAGUUUGGAGAGGCAAUCCACAAUUGUGUCUAAGAAGUCGAUCGCUUGGCUCUAAAGACCUUGGAAGAGGACCAAGGCAAAUGAGGCUCCAAAGAAGAUUCAAGUGAUACGACCUACACGUAGAAGUCAACGACUACGUUUAGGAAGUUAACUAUCUACCAACUAGCACCAAGACCUUGGAAGAAGAAAAAGGUCUAAAAUUGACCUAGACAUAGAACUCGACAAAUUAGAAAAACAAAUCAGCAAUUGCCUAGAAAAUCUACUAGAGGUAUGAAAUUACCAAAAUACCCAUAGGUAAACCUAUAAAUAGGCAUAAAUCCCAAGAAGAUGCUAGAGAUAGUAAUCGUCAAGUGGAUAAUAUCACCAAGGUUCCAGGUGCGCGCGCAUAUGCGAUGAUGCGCCCCUAGAGGGAGAUGCGCCAGGCGCAUCUCCCUUAGCCGGAUCCGGGUCGGAUCUGACCCGGAUACAAGCCUGUUUUAAGUUAUUUAAAUAACUUAAAACAGUUUUUUGUUUUAUUUUAAAAAAAAGGCCAAAAAAAAAUUAUUUUAAGACCUUAUAAAUUUAUACAUUGGUCCAUGAAAAGAGCUAUAUUAUUUUUAAUAUUAGCUCCUCCCACUCUUUAGACUUCAUAUUUUUUUUAGACAGAAUGAAUCUUUAUUUAUAGACCAACCUUCUUUGUGUUUUUUGAAUUCUAUCGAUGUGGGACUAAAAAAGUGUAGUUAAAUAAAUUAUUAUUAUAGAGUAUUUUUGAUGUUGUAAAUGUAUUAAAGAAGGCCCAGCCCAGCCCAUUACGUUAUUAUUUUUUAAAAGCCUCUUGGGUUAUUUAUUAUUUUCUUUUUAUAAAAGCCUCUCUUUUAUAAGUUUAAAGAAACCCUAGCCAUUUAAAGAACUAUAUUAUUACGAAAAUACCCCUAAAUGGUUAACCGGUUUUUAAACCUUGGUGUUACAAUGAAUUAUAGGGUGUUAUAAUGAUUAAUAAAUAUAUGUAUUAUAAUAAUUUUUCUAUCCGAUAUAUUUUUAACUAAAAAAUUUAAUUGAUAUAAUUUAGAUAUAUAAAAAAAUAGGGAAGACAUUUGGAACGGCCGGUAGUCGGAACGGUCACUGGUGCGGACCUCCGAUCCGGCCGUCCAUCUCCACAACAAAAUUCUCGACCGUUCAUUGAAUCGAAAUCGGACGGUCGUUGCUCUGUUCGGCGAGCGGAGGUUCCCCGGAGAUGAGUUCCGCGGAACCGCGAUCGAGUUCCGCGGAACUCGCGAUGGGUUCCGCGGAACCGAAAUCGAGUUCCGCGGAACUCGCGAUGGGUUCCUCUGAGGUGAAUCUCGAUUAGGUUUUUACAUGACGCCAGCAUCGAUCCCAAUUCUCUGUCGACGAGCAUAUCGUUAUGUGAAAGAUCCAAUCGCCGGAGUAGCCAUCUGAACCCAUAUCACCCCAACGAAUUCCACACAAAGAAAUAACCUCAAGUCCCAAUUCUUCCACCACCUCCUCCUCCUCUUCCAAUAACCCUCGACGAACCGCAAGCUCCCCCGGGACCAGACAAUCGUCAGUGAAGUGUCCGACUUCCUUCUCGAUGACAUCGCAAUUCACAAGCGUAAGGAACCUCCGGUUACUUGUCCGAUUGAACGGAGUCCGUCUCCAGUGAUGAGGCAACAGCUGUGGAGUCUUAGGGUGGUGAGGUUCCUGAAAGUUUCAGCUGUGGUGAUCAGGUGUGUGUUGUCGAGGUCCAGUGGGAGCCGGAAAUCGAGUGUAUGGAGAGAUUUAGUGCACCGUUCGAUGAACCGGCGAAGACCUUCACGGCUUCCACCGUCAUAUAAUAACAGAGAGUUUAACAACCGGCAGUUGUCUGCAACGUCUAAGAGCACUCGAUCUGCGAUUGUCCGGCAAAAUCGUAAUUCCAAACGUUGUAGGUUGCGAAGUUUCCGGGCAAAAUUAUAAUUCCGUAAUAAACGGUAUUCUACAUCAUCCAGUGCCGUCUCCAGUACCACCUCCAGUACCAUCUCCAGUGCCGUCGCAGCUACGUAGUUGGAGACACUUUAGAUUACCACACCGACGCCAAAGCCAUCUGAACCCAUGAUCACCCCAACGAAUUCCACACAAAGAAAUAACCUCAAGUCCCAAUUCUUCCACCACCUCCUCCUCCUCUUCCAAUAACCCUCAACGAACCGCAAGCUCCCCCGGGACCAGACAAUCGUCAGUGGAGGGGGAGCAAUUCAGAAUGGACAGUUCUUUAAGACACGGAAAGAAUCGUACCCAACGGAAACACAACGGACGGAUACGGGAGAGAUUCAAAGAGACAAGAUUCCUAAAAGGAGGAACCAUCGAAACCUUCUGCAGAGCCGCCGAAGACACCGACCCCAGCAUAAAUCGUAGGUGUCGGAGGCGAUGACGGUGGGGAGGAUAGGCGAUGAGGCAGAGGAGAAGGUUAUCGGAAUUAUCCUCCAGAUCAUCAUCGUCAUCGAAACAGCAACUCACGGGAAGUAGUACGGUAAGAGACAGGAGAUAGGUGUAGCGGUGGAGGAGAAGGACAAGGAAAGAAGACGGUAGGUGUGAGUGUUUUGGGAUACGGAGGGUGAGUGACGUGAGAGACGAUCGGUGGAGAGUCAACCAUCUACGAGAGGGUAAGGUACCGCACAUUCGUCUGUUGCGGACAGGGUCGCACCUGAAAUAUUCUCUAUAUAUAUAUGUCAUGAAAGUGAAAAUAGAUUUGUAAUCUAAUAUGUGAUGAGUUUUUCUAUCACAUUAUGACAUAAGUAAUUAAUUAGGUUUAAAUAAGUGAUGUUUCAUUUAUAUAACAAUAAUACUACUAGGUGACAAGAAAACACAAAGUCACAUAGAAAAGAAUAAACAACUGAUCAUGUACUCAUGUAACUCAUGUACAUAAAAAACAAAGAGUAAGAAUUCUGAAUAAUGGCAAUAACUCUACAAACUACAGACGCAACAAAGACAGAUUCAUCACAGCAACUUGAAACAAGGGACAGCCAAACGAGAAAGCACUAAAUGAUCGCAUCACUGCUACUAGAGAGUAGAAAUCAAGAUCUAUCAUGAAGAAUAAAGUGAAGGAGAAGAUGAUUUACCAAGUCACAUUUGAAGAUGAGAGCAGUCUCUCUGAUAUCCUGCAUAUAUCCAAGAGCUAAUAAGCAUAUGUGUGGUCGGUCGGUCGGUCACAAUUCAAACUCUUCGUCAAGUUUCAGAGCAUUGGAUGCAGCUUCUUCUUCAUCCUCGUCGAUGACGAAGUAGGGAUUGUGGACCUCGGGUCUGAAUUUAAACCCUGUGAAGAUAUAGAAGGCGAGAGUAGCGAGCUCACCGGCUACAACACUCGUCCAUAAGUACCGAUACGAGGUAAUGGUCAUCAGAGCGUAAACCACGACUCUGGUGAAAUAUAUGUAGCAGAUGACCACGAUGUAGUAUUGUCUAAAUAAUGUCAACUUCAUGAGGUUAACUGCGGCUUUCCCAUCAGUUCUGGCUGCUUCUCUUAAAUUCUUAAUGGACCAAACAAUGGGAAACAAAAUAGCACAGCAACAGAUAACGUCGACGAGCAAGAAAACCUGCUUCCAAGUCACCCAAUCGCGUGCAUAAGGCCCACUCUCAUCAAUUGCAACCUGCGCUAUGUUGGCGAUGACUUGAAGCGGGAUCACAAUCAUCAGCACCUUCUUUUCUUUGUCCUGAAGGUAGGGCUUCAAGAACGACCACCCAGUUCCAAUCAGCACGAUGAGAGUAAAGAGUGUGAUUCCCUUCAUGAAGCUGAAAAUAUAGAACAGGACAUCCCAACCAUGAGCGCUCCCGGUCUUCUGGAUAUAGCUCUUGUCUUCCGCCUCACACAGAAGAUUCAACGCCUUGAGAACAACUACGGCAAGCAUGAAGUAAUGGAUUCCAAAAGCUGUGCUUCUUUUCUUGUACAAGAUAAAAAUCCAAAAACCAGAGAGGCAGGCGUAAACAAGAAAGUAAAGGAAGUAAAUCCUGGGAAGCACGGCGGAGCCUGCAGGCAGAUAGCCCUUUUUCCCACCAUUCCCCUCGGUAUUAUACGUUGUAGAUACAACAUCCAUCGAAAUCUUGACGUCCUGGAGGCAAUUGGCGAAGACGAGGGUAAACUGUCCGGGGUCGUUAACAUGGAAGACGAUCCCAAAUUUAUUGGCGAUUGGAGCAUGUGAAUCUUUAGGGUUACGGGGAAGUUGAUCGAAACUGUAGACGCGUUUGACGAGAGAUGACUCAAGAGCGCAGACGAUCUCCUGAUCCUGGAUCUGUUGGAUGACGUGGAUCCAGGCGUCCCGUGUGCUGAGGAAGAAACCAAUCUUAGAGAGGUCGAGAUCAGGAUCAGAGUUGGAGAAAGAGAUCGCAGAGACAUUGAGCUCCAGGAAACCGAAGUGAGUGAAUCCGAACUCCUCGAAAGGGAUUAUAGAUCGCUGAUCGAGUCGGAUUUCUGACGUCCGAAUCUCCGCCGACGAAGAUGAAAUCAAGAUCGAGAAAACCAGAAGCAGGAGAGAAGCACCGACGGAUGAUGUCGUCGUCGUACCCAUCGUGAAUUGGGUCGGUCGGAAAUGGAAAUCGAACUGGAACUAGAACUGGAUUAGGACGAGAAUGGAGGAAGAAAAUAGAAAUUUGGGAUUAAAAAGAUCUCGGUUGUUAACAUGUUACUGCGCUAUCCACGUAGUUGGUGAAAUAUCAAAAUUACCCCGAGUUUUUAUGUAGAAUCACGGAUCAAAAUGAGUAUGUGAAGAUGUUAUUCGGAGAAAAACCAAGGGUCUUUAUUCCUAUGUCGGUCGUGUUUUCGUUUUUUAAGUUGGGUUUGUCGGUCGUGUGUAUCGGACGGUUAACAAUUGUUGUAGACUCGUAGAUGAUGAAGAGACGCUAAGAUUUUGACACGUAUAUUUUAAUUUAUUUUGUAAGUUCAACUGUUCAAAGGAAUAAUGAAAUAUACAUUAUUUUUUACAAAAUUGCAAACUUAUUAAUAAUUUAGAUAUGUCAAAUGUGCAAUAAUUUAAUCCAAACAUUUAAAUUUUCAAAUAUUCAUAGUUCAAUUUUCAAAGGCCUUAAUUUUAAGUUACAUGUAGAGGUGAGAACUGAGAACGGGUGGGUCGUCAUCCAGUACCAUAUCGAUGGUAACUCAGAUAGGGUAGAUUUUUUACCUCGAUUUUAUAUUGUCAUUUUUCGAGACAGGUCGUAAGGUAAAACCCAGAUGUAAUACUCUUGUUUGUGAUCGAGAACAUAUCUUUGAGAUAUGUAUGUUUCAGAGCGAUGUUAGGAUCCAGCAGAGGAUCAACUGGUCCUGUUGUUCAAUGACUGAUCCCAGAAAUAAUUCCAUCUUACCGUUGACAUAAUCGAUGAAUUGGUACCCUCUUAGUAAAACCAAAAAUUCGGCUUUUCAACUGAAAAGGUUCACCUCUUCGAGCACGACGCACUUGAUUUGCUUCGUGAUGAUACUUUUCAUUGAUGUAUCUAACUUCGUCCCUGUUAGAUUUUUUGCAACGGAAGAUUCUGGAUCUUUUAUCAGAGGUGACCCCCAUCGAACGAUGAUACCAUCUUAGAAUUAGGCUUGUAUAUCGGUCGGAUUCGACUCGGAUAACCUGUAAUCCGAAUCCGUCUGAAUAAUAUUCAGAUAAGAAAAUUCGAUUCCAGAGAUCGGAAAAAUCUGAAUCUAGAUAUUUUUUUAUAAAAAUCUUAAAAUAAAAUUAUAAAAAUAUAAAAUCACCUUUAAUAAAGUUAAUUAAUAGUAAGAUAUUCAAAUAAAUAUAAAUUUUUAAACUAUCUGAACAGGUGAGUAAAAUGCAGACUGCGGUGGACCUCCUCUGUAAGCAGAACCGGAAAAUUGUCGAAUUCACCUCGAGAGGUUUCUUCCGAGAAGCUAUCUUACUUUUCAAGCAGCUGCAUUCCGACGACCCUCAUCACCUGACGUGUCUUGCGAUCGUUCUCCCCUCUGUUAUCAAGGCAUGUCAAAUUCAACUGGAACACCUCUCUACGGGUCUCCAGAUUCACGCUCUUCUCAUAAAGACCGCACAUCAUAGGUUUCAAAUCCCAAUCUCUAAUUCACUGCUCAUGUUCUACGUUAAACACUCUCACAUUCGCCAAGCACGCUUUCUGUUCGACACAAUGCCCGUCAAAGACGUCGUCAGUUGGGCUUGCAUGAUAAACGCCUACGUUCAAACCCACUUCCUCUCCGAAGCUUUGAUCCUCUUCAAGCUACUUCUCGAUACUCGUGGUGGCGGUGGUGAUAUUUGGGCCGACGCCGUCUUCCGGGCCAAACCCCAACUAGUUGCCAUGGUUAUCUCUGUGUGCGGUCGGACGGGGAACCUAGGAUUUGGAAAACAGAUUCAUGCUAAGAUUGCUGUUAUGUCUCUUCAUCGUUGUGCAUUGAUAUCUUCUUCGUUGGUUCAUAUAUCCACGGCCCUCGUCGAUUUGUACUCUCGGUGUUUAGAAUUCUCCGAUGCUCGAAAGGUGUUUGCAAGAAUGUCAGAGAAGAAUAUUGUCUCCUGGACUGCUCUAAUAAAUGGUUCCCUCACCGCCGGAGACCACCGCCUGUGUUUCGAACUUUUUCGAUCACAAGAGAUGUGGGAUCAUGGAGUAAAUCCCAACAGAGCCACUUUGCUUGCAAUUCUCUCCGCCUGUGGCCAAAUGGGUGCCUUUAGACACGGUAAACAGAUACACGGCUACAGUUUCAGACAUGAUCUGUAUUCAAGCGACAUGAUUGUGGCAGCUCUUGUUGACAUGUACACAAGAUGCCGGGAAACACUGGCAAGCCGAUACGGUCUGCUUGUUUUUCAAAGCCAUGAAUCGAGAGAUGUUGUUAUGUGGAGCUCCAUAAUUCACGGCCAUGUUCGGAACGGCGAUGUAAUCGGAGCCUUAACCCUCUUCCAUCAGAUGCGGACGGAGGAUGUUAUUAAACCAAACUCCGUCACAAUGCUAGCAAUCAUACGUGUCUGCACCGGCAUUGGCCGAGUUUGGUUCGAUCUCGGCACUUGGAUACACACACUUGUUAUUAAAUACGGCUUUAGCUCCGACGUGGUUGUGGCAAAUUCUCUGAUCGAUAUGUACGCCCAAUGUGGAUUUCUGAACCAUUCUAUUCAAACCUUCAAGGAGAUGCCGGCCCGCGAUAAGGUGUCGUGGAGUAGUAUGAUAUCUUCCCUCGGCUACCACGGCCGCGGAGAAGAAGCAGUCAGUCUCUACCGUGACCUGUCUAAAUUGGAUGAUGAUUCCGGCCUUAUUGACGAGAUCACCCUGCUUGCUGUAUUAUCUGCAUGUAAUCAUUCCGGUCUUAUCGACGACGGAAGAGCAAUCUUCAACCACGCCGUCAAAAACCAUGGAGAUCUCCUCUCCUCGCAGCAUUACGCUUGCUACGCCGAUCUGCUAGGUCGAGGUGGCCAGAUUGAAGAAGCCCACGAGGUCGUUACAAACACAAUCCGGCCGACGACAUGUACGAGAAUGUUGACGUCGCUGAUCUCUGCCUGCAAAUCCGACGGGAGAUUCAACGAAGCAGUGGGUUUAGGAUGCAAGUUGAUCGAGAAAGAUCCAUCAAAUCCGGAUAGCUAUGGUUUGCUUUCUCAAGUGCAUGCCGAGAACGGCGAGUGGAUGAGAGCUGAGAAAUUACGAUUUCUGAUGCGGAGAAGACGGCUGAUAAAAUGCUCCGGACGAAGUUGGAUCGUUACGAAUUAAACCAGAUGGGUAUUUGGUAGGUAUCCAUGCACACUCAGAUCCGCAUUUAAAGUAUCACAUGACAAUUGAAUAUCGGAGCAAAUUGCGUCGCCGGAACGAAACUGAUGACGACCUUUGGAGAUUUCAAUCCAGCUACAUCCCGGAAUCUUGAUGACACCACGGUCCCUCAUCAAUCCUCUCAUCCUCGCCGAAUCACUCCAUCUUUUCGACCCAGCGUAGAUCUUCGAUGAUAUAACAUAAUUCCCAGAAUUCCAUGGCUCAAUUUGCAGAAGCCAUUGGCUAACUUUCUCACCAACCUCUACGUUCUUACAAGUUCUGCAGGCACUGAGAAGUGAUCCUAACAUGACGGCAUCAGGUUGGUAAUUGUCGUCGGGCAUUCUCUUAACGACUGCCCAUGCUUCGUCUACUCGUCCUGAUCGCGCCAGUAAAUCGACCAUACAUGAGUAAUGCUCGAUCUUCGGCGAUAUUUUCAACACAGAUUCCAUGUGAGUGAACCACUUACGGCCUUCGGAAACCCAGCCGGCGUGCGCACAAGCAGAGAGAACUCCUAGGAAAGUUCUCUCGUCUGGUUGGACUUUCCCGUCGAGGUUCAUUUCGGCGAAGCAAGAUAAGGCUUCCCUAGCACGACCGUGGAAGGCGAAUGCGGAGAUCAUGGCGUUCCAUGUGACCUCAUUCUUCCAUUGCAUCAAACGGAAAAUCUCAGUGGCUCGAUUGAGAUCUCCACAUUUGGCAUACAUGUCGAUCAAGGCAGUGCCGAUAUAGACGUCGACGCUCGUUUUUAUAUCUCCCCUGUGUAAAUAAUAAUCCGCUACGGACUUGCCAACAUCUAGAGCACCGAUGGAAGCGCAAGCGGAGAGAACGCCGACUAUCGUGAUCUCAUCAGGCUUGACAGUGCUGGUUGAAACUGAUGAUUGCAUUGUUCGGAAUAAUUGGAUUGCUUCCUCCGCCAUGCCAUUCUGUGAGUACCCAGUGAUCAUAGCAUUCCAAGCAACCUUGUUCUUGUUUUCAUCCAUUCCGUCGAAAACCCUCCUCGCCGAAUCCAAAUCUCCACAUUUCCCAUACAUGUCUAUUAAAGCCGAUCCCAAGAACGAAGUGAGGUUGAAUUUCUUCGUCUCUACAAAUGCUUCCAAAGACCUCCCCAUCGCCACAUCUCCCAAGCCACCGCAAGAUGCCAGAACGCUGGCGAUCGUCAUCUCAUUCGGAUCGAAUCCGGCAUCUUUCAUCCCUCGAAACAAAUCCAAAGCUUCUCUAUCGAAACCCAUUUUGGAAUACCCAGAAAUCAUGGAGUUCCAAGAAACCAAAUCUCUGUCGAUAAUUUCGUCGAACACUCUCCGCGCAUUUACAAGCUCCCCACAUCUCGCGUACAUAGUGAUGAGGCAGUGCUGGGUGUUGGAAUCCAUAUGAAGGCCGGCUUUGAAAACGGAGGCGUGAGUUGCCGAACCUGAAGAAAGACGGCGGAGAUUGGCGAACGCGAUGAGGACAAAUGGGUAUGUGAAAUUAUCGGCCCUGAGACCGGAUCUGAUCAUGUGGAGGUAGAAGCUGAGAGCAAGAUUGUAAUCCUUCCAUGUUGUGGCCAUGCCUCUGAUGAUGGUAUUAUAGGAGUAUUCGUUUGGACGUGGAAUCUGCGAGAAGAGGAGGGUGGCGUAAUUGGAGUCAUUGAGCUGAAGGGAUUUGAAGAGGAGAUGAUUGUCUUUCUGGAUGGAAGCGGUGAUCAUGUGACAGUGGAUUUCUUUCAGUUUCCUCACGUUGCUACAUUUCUGAAGGACCCCUAUGAUCAUCUUUGCUUUCUUCCGAUCUCAACCAUCAAUACCAUUCACCGGACACUGACUCCAGCGAGGGACUCACGUCAUUGUCAAGUGUGGGGGGGAAUAUUAUAUGUAAAAUUUGUGCCAUUUACCCUAAAAAAUACUAUUUAUAUCUCUAUAGUUAUAUUCGCUAAGGAGAGCACAAAUGAAAAAAAUCCGGGUCUCCACUUGACAAUGAAUAGACACUAUUAUAUGUUUUUAAGGACAAACACUAAUACUUUUCUUUUUUUUGCUAUUUGCCAACCUGCCAACAAUCAUUUCCUAUUAGAAUAUAUAUCCACUUGCAGAAAGUCUGACUCGUUCAUUGGGUUUGGGAUCACAGGCUCGCCAUCGCUGCUAUACCUCUAUAUCAUCCACGGUUGCCAUGGAAGAAUCUGGAAUCUGUCUCGAUAUGUAUGUCACUAUGACUUGCACACCAGCUGUUCGAUAAAAUGCAUCAACUAAUGAAAACCUCCAGAAAAUCAAGCAGUUGUCUAUCUCUCGACAAGUGAAAAACUCCCCAUCAAAAAAGCAUCUUACGAGCAGUCAACCUUAGACCCCCCUUCCUGUACCGACAGUGUCUCGGAGUGUGUGGGGAAAGAGUUUAAGGUCGAUAGCUCUGAAAAGGGGGGGUGAAAGGAAAAAAAUAAAAAGUGGAAGAAGAUGAGGGAGGGAUGACAGAUCAAAGAAAAUUAAGAGCAACGCAAUAGGGGAAAAAUUGGUGAAAAUACAUGGGGGAUACUUACCAUCGGGGAAACCACAAUCAGUGCAGCCACACAUAUCUGAGGAGGGAGAAAAUAUUGUAAACUCAACCACAAACGAACAACAGGUAAUAAUAGAGAAUAUAGCCACAACAGAGGAACCAAAAGAGAUAGAGGAAACUAAGCUCAACAUCGGUCCAACAGGCCCAAGAAAGACAAAGUCAAAU
Molecule: long non-coding RNA, 86055 nt
Filed under: Zostera marina
Lineage: Eukaryota; Viridiplantae; Streptophyta; Magnoliopsida; Alismatales; Zosteraceae
Description: long non-coding RNA (ZMAR_LNC004402)
Source: RNAcentral